Molecule: long non-coding RNA, 69576 nt
Filed under: Arabidopsis lyrata
Lineage: Eukaryota; Viridiplantae; Streptophyta; Magnoliopsida; Brassicales; Brassicaceae
Description: long non-coding RNA (ALYR_LNC001749)
Source: RNAcentral
CAGAAACGAUCAGAUUCAUCAUAUCUUCUAAAAUUAUGACAUGAUAAACUUCUAAAAGGAGACGAUAAUUGAAUAAUAUGUCUAGUAGAUUCAUCAUAUCUUCCGCUGACAUAUGAGUUUGAUACUAAGCAAUAACUAAAAUUCUUUAAUCAGCUGCAUCAAGGAACACAAAAGCUAAGCACCAUUUUAUAGCUUUGACACUUUGAAAUGACAAAUAGCAACUAAAGGGACAACAAACACAAACCCUAGCUGAGGUAAAAGUAAGCUCUAUAUUCAGUAUCUUGCAACCUGAAUACAAUCAACAAACCAUAGAAAAAUAAGCAAACAGAGUUCAAGCUCCUUAAUAAGCAACGACGCCCAAGAGAAGUGCCAAAACAAAAGCCAAUAAUCAAACCCAUGAACUAUAAGAAUCAAAUACACGACUAAGAAUCCAAUAAUCAAACCCAUGAACUAUAAGAAUCCAAUAAUCAAACCCAUGAAAAAUUAUAGCCGCUCAAAUACACACAAAUAAUUCUAUGAAAAACCCAUGAAAGAUUAUAGCCUAUAAGCAUCAUAAACUCAAUACAAAACCUAUGAAUCUUACCUUAAACUAACGGCGAGAGAUUCGGCGGAGAGAACGGCGAGAGAUCCGGCGGAGAGAAACGGUCGGCGAAGUGGACGGCCGGCGAGAGAUCCGGCGGAGAGAGAGAGCUGAUUUUGUUUGUAAAGAGAACAAAAACAGAGAAUCGUCGACGAAUGAAAGAGAAGAGGAUUAGGUUUUAGGAGUGAAAUUUUCUAAACUAAGUAGGGGUAUUUAGGUCAUUUUCUAUUUUAGACUGAAUCAGCUCCAGUUAACUGCUCCGAUCAGACUCAGCCGGAUUCCAAUCAUUUUUUGGAUGAGUUUAUUAAAAAUCAUCCAACUGCUCCAUCUCACUGCACUGUUAAAUUGCUCUAAACGAACAUCAAUAUUCAUCUCCAUUCAGCUGGAUCAUCUGAAUGGAGAAACGAACAGCACCUUAGUAGAAUUACGUUAUUUCUUUUUAAUUCACAAUUUCAUAUAUCUUCAGUUCUUCAUUACCCAUUAAAAAUAAUUUACUUUUUUGGGUCAAAAGUUAAAAUUUUAUUACGCCAACAAAAAUGUAAAGACUAAUCAUAUUCAUAUAACCUUCAUUCAAUAAAUGGCUCAUGGGUGAAGAAGGUGGUGGGUAGUAGCGUGGGGGGGAGGUUACUCCCAGAGAGAGUGAUAGAUGAUGGCUUCGUGACGGAGAGAUUGCAUCUGACUUUCCCGGAUGGUGAGGAUGGGGAACCAGAGAUUACAAUCGAGAGGGAAGUUUUGGAAGCCAUGAAUGGUCUUUGGAAGCAGUGCAUGAUUGUGAAGGUACUCGGGAGGAACGUUUCGAUUGCAGCCCUUAACCGUAAGCUGAGGGAGUUGUGGAAUCCGAAAGGUAUGAUGUCGGUUAUGGACUUGCCUCGCCAGUUCUUUAUGGUUCGGUUCGGGUUGGAGGAGGAGUAUCUCGCGGCCUUAACGGGAGGACCAUGGAGAGCGUGUGGGAGUCAUCUUACAGUUCAAGCGUGGUCACCNNNNNNNNNNNNNNNNNNNNNNNNNNNNNNNNNNNNNNNNNNNNNNNNNNNNNNNNNNNNNNNNNNNNNNNNNNNNNNNNNNNNNNNNNNNNNNNNNNNNNNNNNNNNNNNNNNNNNNNNNNNNNNNNNNNNNNNNNNNNNNNNNNNNNNNNNNNNNNNNNNNNNNNNNNNNNNNNNNNNNNNNNNNNNNNNNNNNNNNNNNNNNNNNNNNNNNNNNNNNNNNNNNNNNNNNNNUCACACGCCGGUUUGGGUGAGAUUAUCGAACUUACCGGUGAAUUUUUACCAUCGAUCAAUCCUGAUGGGCAUCGCUAGAGGUUUGGGGAAACAUAUUAGGGUUGAUUCAACGACGCUUAACUUUGAAAGAGCCCGGUUUGCAAGAGUUUGUGUGGAAGUGAACCUUGCUAAACCUCUCAAGGGAACUGUGAUGGUCAAUGGAGAUAGGUACUUUGUGGCAUAUGAAGGAUUGACGAAUAUUUGUUCGUCUUGUGGGUUGUAUGGGCAUCUUGUUCAUACAUGUCCUAAGGUGAGAUCAGAAAAACCGGUGGAGAUGUCACAAAGCACGAGUCGGGAAGAGGUACGGGGGACCCAGGCGGAGAAUGAUGGGUUUACAGUUGUCCGGCGGUCGGGGAGGAGACCGGGAAAACAAACGGGGAACGCGGUGGUUGGUGCUGAUAAUUCAGGAGCAGAUUUGGGAAGGAAUCUGAAGGAGAUCUCCACAAAUCUCGUAACAGCAAACAGAUUUGGGGAAUUAUAAGUUGAUAUGGUAUCUGCGGAAUUAAGGGAAGUACCUAUUUUAUUGGAGGGAAAUAAGGAAAACGGGGUUGUGGUAAAUCAGACAAAUAAAGGCAAGAGUGUGUCGCAAGGUCCAAGUGGCGUAGGAGGAGAGUCUCGGGGUAAAGGACAGGAAGGAGCAUGUAAUGGGCCUAAGGGCAAACGGACUGGGCUUGGUAAGCCUAAUGUGGUUAACGGGCCAAGAUUAAAACAGAGUGUGGUCAAUAGGCCAACACGUGGACUAGUUUUCGGCCCACCAAGGGAAGAAAUGGUAUUGUCGGCAUCUGGGAAGCGGCUUUGUGUUGAAAACAGAGUUGCGGGACGCCCAGGAGGAUUUUUUGGAGUAGAAGGUGCCCGGAAUCAAACGAAGGAGACAUUAUUGGAGGAGCGGGAUAAUGUACUUGGGAAUGUUAGUAUGCCGCUGCCAAUUGAGCAGUCGGGUCGGGAAUUGGAAGUGCAGAGUCCUCCGCAGACGGAGGCGGGAAUGACGGUGGCAUAAUGUUUGUCCCCGGGGGUUCGAAUCUUGUUUUGCAAAUUAUCAAUGAAUUGCUUAUUUUGGAAUUGCGGGGGGGGGGGGCGAAUAAACCUAAUUUUAGAAGAUCCAUACGAUAUAUGUUGAAGAAAUUCAAUACCGAUAUCUUGGCGAUCUUUGAGACACAUGCGAGUGGUGAUGCUGCGAGUCGGAUUUGUAGGGGACUUGGUUUUGAGAAUUCUUUUCUAAUUGAUGCAGCUGGUCAGAGUGGUGGACUAUGGUUACUUUGGCCGUUCCACGGUGGGGACGGUGACUAUUGAGAACUCCUCUGAUCAGUUCAUACAUGCGUUGGUGGAGAAUGAACAAUNNNNNNNNNNNNNNNNNNNNNNNNNNNNNNNNNNNNNNNNNNNNNNNNNNNNNNNNNNNNNNNNNNNNNNNNNNNNNNNNNNNNNNNNNNNNNNNNNNNNUCCAGGCUUCGAAAUUGAGUGGUGUAAUGAGCUAUCCCUAACCGAUAUGGGUUUAGAGGUAACAAGUUCACAUGGCGGAGAGGGAAGGAGGAGAGUACGUUUGUUGCAAAAAGAUUGGAUAGAGUUUUGUGUUGCGCCAAAGCGAGAUUGAAGUGGUAGGAGGCAAUCAUCUCUCAUUUACCUUUCUUAGCUUCGGACCAUGCCCCGAUCUAUGUACAACUAUGUCCUGAAGGGAGGGGAGACCCGAGUAGAAGACCAUUUAGGUUCGAAGCUACGUGGAUGAAACAUGAGAGUUUCAAAGAACUAAUUUCACAGUCCUGGAAUGGUGAGAUUGGGACUCAAGAAGCUUUAAAUCGGUUGCGGAGAACGCUCAAGAGAUGGAACAAUGAGGUUUUUGGGGAUGUGCAGAAGAGAAAGGAGGCAUUAAUCUCUAAAAUUAAAUUGGUCCAGGAUGAGCUAGAGACGAAUCAAACAGAUGGGCUGUUAAAGAGAGAGGAUGAACUGCUAAAAGAAUUUGAGGAGGUUCUAGAGCAGGAAGAAGUAAUCUGGUUUCAAAAAUCAAGAGAGAAGUGGAUCGCCUUGGGAGAGAGAAACACCAAAUACUUCAACACAUCUACCAUUAUCCGGAGAAAAAGAAACCGUAUCGAAAGUUUAAAGAAUGAUGAUGGAGUUUGGGUCACAGAUGGAGCGGACUUGGAGAAGAUGGCGGUGGACUAUUAUACAUGACUUUACUCCAUGGAUAAUGUUGAACAGGUGGUUAUAAGCCUACCUUUGGCAGGAUUUGUACGGUUAACACAGGCGGAGCUGCGAGCUUUGAAUUUACCUUUUACGGCGGCGGAAGUGGAAGAUGCAAUACGCCGUAUGGGACAAUUUAAAGCUUCGGGGCCAGAUGGGUUUCAACCAGGGUUCUAUCAACACUGUUGGGAUGUGGUGGGAAAUUCAGUGACCAAGUUUAUGCUAGAUUUCUUCGCGACAGGGGUGUUACCGUGUGAGACGAAUGAUGCUUUGUUGGUGUUAAUUGCUAAGGUGGAGAAACCGGAACGCAUAACACAGUUUCGACCUAUAAGUCUAUGUAAUGUGUUAUUCAAAACAAUUACAAAGACUAUGGUGAUAAGGCUAAAGGCGGUGAUGCCUAAGCUAAUAGGUCCAGCUCAAGCUAGCUUUAUCCUCGGUAGAUUAAGCACAGAUAACAUAGUGAUUGUACAAGAGGCGGUACACUCAAAUGCGAGAAAGAAGGUCGUAAAGGGUGGAUGUUAUUGAAACUUGACCUUGAGAAGGCGUAUGACCGUAUUCGUUGGGACUUUCUUGAAGACACUUUGCGGGCUGCACAGUUACCAGAACAAUGGAUUAAUUGGAUUUUGCAGUGUGUUAAGGGUCCAAAGAUGAAUGUGUUAUGGAAUGGAGAGAAAACGGCUGACUUUAAACCACUGAGAGGACUAAGGCAAGGAGAUCCAUUAUCCCCGUAUCUCUUUGUACUAUGCUUGGAAAGACUAUGUCAUCAAAUUGAGUUAUCGGUCGGUGCAAAAGAAUGGAAGGCGAUUAGUUUAUCUAUGAGAGGACCGAAGCUAUCGCACAUUUGCUUUGUAGAUGAUCUUAUUCUUUUUGCGGAAGCCUCGGUUGCUCAAAUUAAAGUCAUAAGGAAGGUUCUUGAAACGUUUUGCAUUGCAUCAGGUCAGAAAGUUAGCUUGGAGAAAUCUAAGAUUUUUUUCUCUACUAAUGUGCAUCGGGAUCUAGCUGAACUGAUAAGCGACGAAAGUGGAAUUAAAUCGACUCAUGACCUUGGCAAAUACUUAGGAAUGCCUAUUCUACAGAAGAGGAUCAAUAAGGAUACGUUUGGGGAAAUCAUUCAACGAGCAAAUUCUCGGUUAUCAGGUUGGCGGGGUAGAUUUCUGAGUUUUGCGGGAAGACUUACUCUCACUAAGGCAGUUCUCUCCUCACUCCCAGUACACUCCAUGAGCACGAUACUUCUCCCAAGUUUGGUACUUGACAAGUUGGAUCAAUUGUCAAGGUCGUUUCUAUGGGGUAGCACGCCGGAAAAAAGAAAACAGCACCUAAUUGGAUGGGAUCGGGUCUGUUUGCAUAAAUCGGAGGGUGGACUUGGUAUUCGAAUGGCGAAAUAUAUGAAUAAAGCCCUGUUGGCGAAGGUAGGGUGGCGUUUAAUACACGAUAAAAGCAGUCUCUGGUCCCGAGUGUUAAGACAUAAAUAUAAGGUAGGAGAUGUUAAAGAUCCAUCAUGGUUGAAGCUGAAGGGGACAUGGUCUUCAACAUGGCGAAGCGUAGGUGUUGGGUUGCGAGAUGUGGUGCUCCCGGGUAUAAGUUGGGUCCUUGGCGAUGGGAGAGUGAUUAAUUUCUGGUCGGAUAAAUGGGUUUCAAGGAAACCUUUGUUGGAGUUAGCGGUGACAGAUAUACCAUUAAAUGAGUUGAAUGUGACUGUUAAGGAUCUAUGGCGGGAUGGUAUAGGCUGGGACCUAUCUCGAGUUGAGCCUUUUGUGUCUAAUAACACAAAAUUGGAGUUAAUAUCGCUGGUUGUGGACAAUGUUACCGGGGUAGUGGACCGUAUAUCAUGGGGAGAAUCACCAGAUGGGCAGUUUAGUGUCAAGUCUGCGUACUCAUUGUUGACUAAGGAUGAUUCGCCUAAGCCUCAGCUUGGGAAAUUGUUUGCGUGUGUGUGGAAAGUUGAAGCUCCAGAACGAGUAAGUAUUUUCCUAUGGUUAGUGAUUCAUCAAGUCAUAAUGACGAAUGUGGAGCGUCACCGGAGACAUCUUGUCGACUUUGGGUUAUGUCAGGUUUGUAAAAGCGGAGAUGAAUCAAUCCUCCAUGUUCUGCGUGACUGUCCGGCCAUGGCGGGUAUAUGGCAGCGGUUAGUGGCUCCGAGACGGGUACAAUCUUUCUUUGGUAAAACCCUUUUGGAGUGGAUGUACAUGAACUUGAGUAAUGAGAAAGAAGUUGACGAGGUGAAAUGGGCUACGCGUUUUGCUAUGGCUGCUUGGUGGGGCUGGAAGUAGCGUUGCGGGAAUGUAUUUGAUAAUCACGGGAGAUGUAGAGAUCGGGUACGGUUUGUCAAGGACUUGGCCAAGGAAGUAGCUGUGGCUUUUAAUAAUUCUCGAGCGCGAGCUAGUGGUGUUGCGAGAGAAGAGAGGUUAAUAGCGUGGGUCCCUCCUGGUGACGGCUGGGUCAAGCUCAAUACGGAUGGGGCGUCACACGGGAACCCGGGGCUAGCGUCAGCGGGAGGGGUGUUGCGUGAUGGCCAAGGAAACUGGAAAGGAGGGUUUGCUUUGAAUAUUGGCAUCUGUACGGCACCACUUGCCGAACUUUGGGGAGUUUACUAUGGUCUAUAUAUAGCUUGGGAGCGUGGAAUACCGCGACUGGAGCUUGAAAUAGACUAGGAGAUGGUUGUUGGUUUCCUGACGAAAGGAAUAGGUGAUUCUCACCUCCUUUCUUUCCUAGUACGUUUGUGCUAUGGCUUCAUUUCGAGGGACUGGAUAGUCCGUAUUACCCAUGUGUAUAGGGAAGCUAAUCGUCUUGCGGACGGAUUAGCUAACUAUUCGUUUUCACUUCCUUUAGGUCUUCACUUGUUUACCUCUCAGCCUCAUAUUGUUAAUCAGAUUGUUUUAGAGGAUGCUAACGGGACUGCACGCCCGAGAAACAUUUGUUUGUAGUUUAAUUUUCUUUUUUAAUAAAUUGGGGAAGCAAUUGCCACCCCCUCUCCUACCAAAAUAAAAAAUAAAAAAAAUAAAUGGACCAUUACUCCACGAGUUUGUGGGAAACACACGCCAGCAGCUCUCGACGGCCCGUUUCCAUGCCUUUAUUAUCCCAUCACGUUGACCCCACAGACGUAAAAAGUCAAAACCUGCCAUUAAUCUUUACUAUUAAAUAUUUCAUGAUUUAAAAAGAGAAUAAGCCGUGGACAACAAUUUUUCUACAACAUUUCCGUUGUAUUUACACUUUCCAACUAUAGUCGAUAAAAUUGUAAUAAAAAAACGUAUUAAUCUACAGAAAAUUCAGUGUUAAAUAAAGACUCAACAAACUUGUCCAUUAAUAGAAGAACUUUACCAGAUUAAAACCACUCCUCCACUCGAUUAUUAAUAUUUUUUUAUAGAAUUAAGAUACGAUGACGUGUCCAUGAAACAUGAGCUCAGUGGCACGCAACGUAAUAGAAAACGACAAAAGUAAAAAAGAGAAAGGCACAUGUCCGAACUCACGUGUCCACUUAAACGCACCACUUCUUCUGUGCUCUCCACGCGCCUCCUUCUUCCCCCACACGCCCCUCCCGAGUCCCGACCUUCUUCCUUUUAUUUUCCUUUUCCUCCAAACAUUUCUCAGAUUCUCUCGUAAGCUUUGUUAUUUCUUCUCCUCGUUUCGAAUCCUAAUUGUCUUCAAUUUCCGACGAGAUUCUCACCGGAGAAAAGGUAUAUUUUCUGAGCCUUUUUGUGUUCCGAUUUAAGCUGUGAGAACUUAGCCGUAGUAUUUUUUUUGAUAAAUCUUUCACUGUUUGAUUUGACAAGAAUAUGGGUAAUAAAGACAGAAUCUAAAACCACUUGUCUUCAGUUUUUGAGGAAUCAAAAUCACUCAAAAGUUUUGUUUUUUUGUCUCUGCUCCCAUGUCUCUUGAUGGGUUUGUACUUAUUUGACAUUAGGUGUUUGAUUUUAAAGAUGAAUGAUUUAUCAGAUUUAUCUUAUCUCUAAAUUUCAGGUGACUUGACAGAGAAUCUUGUUCUUUUAACAAAAGCAAAAGAUGGCAUCGAAAACUCCUUCCACAUCGUCUGAUGAAGCAAAUGCUACUGCAGAUGAAAGGUGAUUCUUUUAACAGAUUAUGGAACUCUUUAUCUUUGUUUAUGGUGAUCGAUUAUGUUUAGUAUAUAAAACAGAUGUAGAAAAGGUAAAGUACCCAAAAGGAUUAACAAGGCUGUUCGUGAGAGGCUUAAGCGCGAGCAUUUGAAUGAGCUUUUCAUCGAAUUAGCUGAUACUCUUGGUAAAUUUCACAUCUUUCAAUCUUCCAUAGAUUUGAAUGACCAAUUGCUUGAGUGGGUCAGAUUUUGAAUGUGAUUGUGAUAUCUAACUGUGAACAUUGAACAUUGUCUUUGUUGCAGAACUGAAUCAACAGAAUAGUGGGAAAGCUUCUAUACUAGGCGAAGCUACUCGGUUUUUGAAAGACGUGUUUGGUCAAAUCGAGUCUCUUAGAAAGGAGCACGCUUCUCUCCUCUCUGAAUCUAGCUAUGUAAGUCACUUACUAUAUGCACAUUGAUUGUGUUUAUGUACUCUUUUGACAUGGAUCAAGAAGUUACUUAAGUCUAUGUUUAUAUGUUUGUGUAAAUGGUCUUGUUGAUGGAAACUGGUGUUGUGUGUAGGUAACCACAGAGAAGAAUGAGCUCAAGGAAGAAACAUCAGUGCUUGAGACUGAAAUCUCGAAACUACAAAACGAGAUAAAAGCAAGAGCAAGUCAGUCGAAACCUGACUUGAACACCUCUCCUGCACCCGAGUACCAUCAUCAUCAUCAGCAUCCUGAACUUGCAUCUCAGUUUCCAGGACUUCCCAUUUUCCAAGGGCCCGGCUUUCAACAAUCUGCUGCAACUUUUCCUCCUCCUGCAACAGUUCUUGUCCUUCCGAUACAACCCGAUCUCCAGACACAAGAUAUCUCAGAAAUGACAGGGCGUUUGCAGACACAAGCGCAGCCUUUGAUGUAUAAUACCUCAAAUGUGAGUAAGCCAUGUCCAAGGUAUGCUAGUGCGGCUGACUCGUGGUCUUCUCGGCUACUUGGGGAGCGAUUGAAAGCCAGUGAAUAAGGUCUUGAGCGGCUCCACAUGGAGUAGCAACACAAGUUAAGACAUGGCAACAACUUAUGAAGGACCCUGGUUUUGUAUUUUUAACAUCAUCUGAUGUCCUUGUGGGUUUGGCCUUGGCCAUUUCUUGUUUUUGAUGUGGCUAUUCAUAGGAUCAGGAAGUUAUGGCCUUUACUUUAUGGGUCGUUUGAGAUAAAUAAGUAAAUUAGCUCUAACCAUUGUCCUUUUCUUUUAUCUUAAGAUUCUAAAACAACACAGAAACAUAACACAAAAAUAUCAAAUUUUCUUGAAAGAUAAAAGCUUUCUAAAUGGAAACAGAAAUGUGAAAUUGGGUUUAAAGAAAACCGGUUAAUUGGUUGUGGUUUGGAUUGGUUUAAAACGGUUAUAGAAAAAUGAUGGUAUUUUGGUAAAAUAGGCACUUGAGAAAAAGAGAAGAGAGGAGCCAUCUUAUCUGCUAUCGAGUGGGUAAGAAGAACCAGAAAACAGAAAAUGGCGAAUUCACUAUGCUUCUUCUCUUCUCCUCCUACUUUUUGCUUCCAAUCUCCCAGCAAAAACCCUAAACCUUCUCACUUCUUCUCAACUAAUGAUAACACCUCUUCCUUGGUCCAGAAGAGAGAACUGCUUCAGACUUCAAGAUCCCAAAGUUUUGAAGUUAAGGUUUGAAUUUUCCCAAACUCUUCUCCUCACUAUCAAAAUUUGCUUACUUCAUUUGCCAUUUCGUUAAUGCAAAAUCUCAUUUUGUGGUAUCAAUAGGCCGCAAACAAUAAUCCUCAGAGCACUAAACCGAACAGUUUAGUUUGUGCAAAUUGUGAUGGGAACGGUAAGUUCUUACCCAACCAGUUUACAAUUCUCUUAGUUUAGUAAAAUUGACAAAAGAUUUUGUGUAAAUGUUAUCAAAGGUUGUGUGGCAUGUUCUCAAUGCAAAGGAGGUGGUGUGAAUUUGAUUGAUCAUUUCAAUGGUCAGUUUAAAGCUGGUGCACUCUGUUGGCUUUGCAGGUUUGCAACAUCUUAUCUCCUUUCUUCUAUACAAAAACUCCAAAAAAAUUCAUUACUUAAUAUCCUUUUCUUGAAUUUCUUGUGGGCAGAGGUAAAAAGGAGGUGUUGUGUGGGGACUGCAAUGGAGCUGGUUUCAUUGGUGGGUUCUUGAGCACCUUUGAUGAGUAGUUCAAAAUAGCUUCUUCUGGAUACUCAGAAACACUCUUUUUAUAAACUUUAGAAGAAGUAAAUCUUUCUCUCUAUCAAUGCUCUUCUAUACCAAAAACAUGUAUUACUAUUUGUUAUUGCACACCAAACUUUUAUUGUAUUGUUGUUUUUCAGAUCCUUCUCUCCUUUUUUUUGUCUUCUACAAAUUGAAAUAUUGUUAAAGUUUAUAGCACUUCUUUGGAAGUCUUGUUGAUGGCUUGAAAUGUUGAAAUGGUUAGGAGAAGAAUUAAUUACAGUUUUAUUCUAUUUAUUUACAUUGAAACAGAGUGUUUUUAUAUCAUCCUAGUAUCUAUCUAACCCAAUGAUAUUAUUAUUCUUAAGAUUUUUUUUUUUAAAAUUUGAUAUAUUUGAUUUGGUUGUUUAACAUAAACUGAUGUUAUAUCAUGAGUAAAUAAAAAUAGGCACAUAAUAAGAUAGAUAAAACUGAAAAAAACAUUGCACCUGAAAAAACGAGAAGGAAUGGAAACAACUGUAAAUAACAGAUAAACGCAUCUGAGACCAACAAAAGGAGAAGACACAGACCUUUUUCUCUUAUUACCUGUUGUUGUUGUCGUCGUCGCUGGGUCAGAAUCUCGUUGUUGUUGUGUUUUUCUUUUCUCUCGCUCUCCAUUUCGAAUCCAGCACAAAUCUGUCUGAUUCUUGGGAAAAGUCAAGUCAGAAACCUAGACGGGAAGACAAGGAUAUCAGUUCGUCUCUUACGGAUAUACCCAUAAAUUGCUCCAAGCUCAACAUCUGUUUGUUCCAUAAUUUCAAUACGAAUCGAUUUGUUCCACAAAUGUUUUUUCCGUAAUCGUUGCGUGUCGACCAAGGAACUAGGUGCGUUUCUCUCUGAUCUUUGAUCAUCAAUCCCGUUUUGUGUAAUUAAUGAUUAGGUCAUUUCUUAUUUUCCAAGGUAGGUCAGGGAAAUUGAUGAACGCAAAUGCGAUUCCAUAGGAGCAAUCAGCAGUUAUUAGACGUCCCGAUGAGGUUUUCGAUUCGAUAAAGAACCUUUGGAAAUAGAAGGCAAAAGGGGUUUUAUUAUAUGGGGCGAGCAUUGGAAUCAUCUGGUGCUCAAAACUUAGAAUGGCUUGUUUCCAGAGAAGUGUCCCACAGAGAGGGAGAAUGAGCAGGUUUGUUCCAGACUCUCUUACAAUCUUUAGUAAAAGAUUAUCUUCAAUUCCUAAAGUAUGAUUCUUCUUUUUGGCAUAAAACUUGGUUCAGGCGAUAGCGAUUCUCAAGAAAGGAGCUUAUCUAUUGAAAUACGGCCGUCGUGGGAAGCCUAAAUUCUACCCUUUUCGGCUUUCAAGUGUACCAUUCAUAACCUUCAAUCACAGUUUAUUUCAAAGCUGAAGGUUGUGAUUUGAUAGUGGUUUUCUCAAAUGUUUAUGCAGGAUGAAAUAUAUUUGUUAUGGUAUUGUGGUAAAAAGGAGAAACGUCUUAAGCUGAGUUCUGUGACAAGGAUCAUACCUGGACAGCGAACUGUAAGUUAAAAUGUAUGAAUCAUUUUAUCUGGUAACUGUUUGGCUGCAGAUUUCUGAACAGAUGAAUGUUAUUGUAAGAACUUUUCCAGGCAGUUUUCCGACGAUACCCUCAACCCACCAAGGAAUAUCAAUCCUUUUCUCUUAUAUAUGGCGAACGGUCUCUCGAUUUGGUUUGUAUUUUGCUCUCCCUGACAAGUAUUAGCUGUCUUCUAAGAACCAUAUAGUCUUACUACUGAAUAAUACGCAUUUACUGAAACAUCUUGGAUAGGUAUGCAAGGACAAGGAUGAAGCUGAGUUUUGGCUCACAACACUUCGCGCUCUUCUCUCACGAAACAACUCUUCUUCUGCAUUGGUACUUCACUCAAGAAGCCGUAGUUUUGCUCCUGAAAAUGGAGAACAAAGUAGUACGAGCAAGAACUCUAAGUCCAACAUCAGAUCUGUCAGCAGUGACACAAGCUACGAGGUUUUGCUGGUUUUUUUCUUUCUUCAGGAGAGGACCAUAUGGUUGUUUAAUUUCCUACUUAAUAUCAUAUCUUAUCUGGCACUUUUGCAGGAACAUGCAAAAAAGGCCUCAGGAUCACACUGCAACACUCCACAGAGACUGGGGAAAGUUUUCUCAGAGGUUUUGUCACAAACUGCAGUACUAAAGGCACUCUCUUUGGAUGAACUGGUUCAUAAACCUCAUACUUCGCCUCCAGAGGCUAUAGAGAAUCGAUCUACUAAUCACUCCCCUGCCGUUGAUACAAGUAAAUAUAGCGUUUCCAGCGCAGUGAGCUCAUCUAGUCAAGGCUCAUGUUUUGAAGACUUGAAGUCUCUCUGUGAUGUCUUUGUUUGGGGAGAAAGUAUUGGAGAUGGGCUACUAGGAGGUGGCAUGCAUAAAAGUGGCAGCAGCUCUUCUCUGAUGACUGAUUCUUUUUUACCCAAAGUCUUGAAAUCACAUGUGGCACUUGAUGCACAGAGCAUUUCUUGCGGCACCAAUUAUGCAGUGUUAGUCACAAAGCAGGGACAAUUGUACAGCUGGGGAGAAGAAUCUGGGGGCAGGUUAGGACAUGGAGUUUGUUCCUACGUUCCACACCCAAAGCUUAUCGAUGAAUUUGACGGAUCAACGGUAGAGUUAGCUGACUGUGGGGAAUUUCAUACCUGUGCUGUAACAACCUCAGGGGAUCUAUAUGCUUGGGGUGAUGGAGACCACAAUGCCGGUCUCCUUGGACUUGGUAGUGGAGCUAGCCAUUGGAAACCGGUACGAAUUCUCGGUCAGAUGGAAGGUAUAAAUGUAAGAACUAUAUCUUGCGGACCUUGGCAUACAGCUUUUGUGACAUCAGCAGGUAAGCUAUUUACAUUUGGUGAUGGUACUUUUGGUGCGCUUGGACACGGUGAUCGUAUAAGCACAAACAUUCCUAGAGAAGUAGAGGCGCUAAAUGGCUGCAGAACAAUAAGGACAGCUUGUGGCGUUUGGCAUUCAGCCGCUGUUGUCAGUGUUUUCGGUGAGGCCUCAUCAUCAGGAAAGCUCUUUACUUGGGGUGAUGGAGAUGAUGGGAAACUCGGACAUGGUGAUAUAGCGUCUAGACUAAUCCCAUUGAGUGUAACUGAACUGGAUACAACUAGCUUUCAACAGGUAGCUUGUGGCCAGAGCAUAACUGUUGCUCUCUCUAUGUCUGGACAAGUUUAUGCUAUGGGAACUGCUGAUCCGAGUCAGGAUGAUGUUGUGAGAGCUCCUUCUUGUAUUGAAGGGGGUCUAGGAAAGAGUUUUGUCCAAGAAGUGGCUUGCGGGUAUCACCAUAUCGCGGUUUUGAAUUCGAAAGCUGAGGUCUACACUUGGGGCAAAGGAUCAAACGGACAGCUUGGGCAUGGAGACACUGAAUAUAGACGCAUGCCGACUCUUGUGAAAGCUUUAAAAGGUAAACAAGUGAGAAAAGUGGUGUGUGGUUCUAAUUACACAGCAACCAUUUGUCUUCACAAACCAAUUACGGGUACUGAUAGUUCUAGGUGCUCUGGUUGUCGCCAUCCUUUUAAUUACAUGAGGAAGCUUCACAACUGUUAUAACUGUGGGAGUGUCUUCUGUAAUUCAUGCACUAGUAAGAAAUCCUUAGCAGCAGCUAUGGCUCCCAAGACGAACAGGCCUUACCGUGUUUGUGAUGACUGCUAUAUCAAACUCGAAGGAAUUAGAGAAUCUUUAGGAACUCCAGCAAAUAGUGCCAGGUUUUCAAACGCAAGUCUACCAUCUAGCAGUAACGAGAUGGAUGAAAUUGGUACAACACCGCAGCGUCAGCUUCUUCAUAGGGUGGAUUCAUUUGAUUUCUUCAGACAAACUAAGAUCCCGGACCUGAAAACCAUUGGUGAAACUUCAGGAACAAGCUGCACGUCGUCGACUCACUCAAAUAUGGAUAUUAAAGGUAGUUUCAACCUGAAAGGCAUACGACGACUCUCCAGGCUAACCUCUUUUGAUUCAGUUAAAGAAGAAGGCAAACAACGUUCCAAGCAUUGCGCUUCGAAAUCAGACACAUCCUCUCUUAUAAGACACUCAGUGACGUGUGGUCUCCCAUUUUCACGUAGAGGUUCUGUUGAGUUGUUUCCUUUAUCGAUAAAAUCCAGCCCGGUUGAAUCUGUUGCAACUACUUCAGACUUCACAACCGACAUUACAGAUCAUGAUUUACUGCAAGAAGUGCCAAAGAAAUCCAAUCAGUGCCUGAGCCAUGAAAUAUCAGUACUCAAAGCACAGGUUAGUCCAACCACUUAUCCCAUAUUGAAUCAAAUGUAGCUUAAGGUAUUGUAGAUGAAGACAAGUAAAAACUUUUAACACUCAGGUGGAAGAGCUUACUCUAAAAUCGAAAAAACUAGAAGCCGAACUAGGAAUGACAUCGAAGAAGCUUGAAGUCGCAGUACUAAUGGCGCGUGAUGAUGCAGAGAAGAUCAAAUCAUCAGAAGAGAUAGUCAGAUCCCUAACACUGCAGGUACAUUACAUUCUCAUUGUUUUUGAAAUAUGCUUCUUGAGCUCCGAGAUUUCAAUCAUUUUCUUCUUCUUCCAGUUGAUGAACGCUACCAAGAAAGAAGUAGACAAGACAAGAAGACGCCGGAACUCGUUUUGAUUUAAACCUUUUUAACUUAUAGAGAACAACCUCUAAUUUGAUCAAAGUAAGUGAAUAGAUUGACAAUUCAAUGGGGUUGAAUGUAAAAUACAAGAAACAAAAGAUUUCUCUUUUAUCAAAUUACAUACAUCAAUGUAGUAGUUACUUACAGAGCAAGAACAGAGAGCUCACAAACACACUUAUAUAUUCGAAAUUGACAAACAGAGAAAAAAAAAAAGUUCAAACCUUUAUGAUUGGUUUAGUGAAGAAUCAACAAAAGCUUCUUCAUUUGGCUAACAAUGGCCAAGCUAAUACUCAUCAUCUGAUUCGCCAUCUCCAUCUCUUUCUUAAUCUCAUUCCCUACAAUUGUUCCCAUUUCUUCAAUCCCAUCGGAACAAGUCUCACCGUCAGUCAUGGCGGCGCUGAUCCAAGUCUUAACAUCUCCGACGACUUCUUUAGUCAACCAAUUCGCUCCUUUCUUCUUCUCUUUCUCAAUCUCUGUAAUCGAAUCGUUGAGUUGACUCAACGCGUCGGUGUAAAGCUUCACACAAUCACCAACCGCUGCGUCUUCAGGCAUAUCGUUGAUAGAUCGGAAAGAGAUAGAGAGGUUUGAGAGAUUUUUAACAGCGACACGAAGAGAAAGCUCGAGGAUUGAUUCAGGGUUAAGAUUUGAAUCUGAUUCGUUGAGAGAAGAAGAUAGAGAACUGAAACAAGUCUCUGGGUAACGAGUCACGGCGCAGACUGAUUUGAGUGAAGCGGAGGAGAUGGGAGGAUGGUGUGGAGGAGGAUGAGUGAAAACUCCGGCGGUUAAAGCGACGACGGCGAGGAUUAAGAGGAGAGAUACGACGGAGACGGUGGCGAUUAGGGUUUUACGAGAAGAUGGUUUUGGAAGUGGAGUAUGAUGAUGAUGAAUUUGGUUUUCUUGGUCGGAUACUUUGUCGUAACCUUUCAAGGUGUUGAUUGAUUCCAUUGAUAAUCGUUUUUUGAUCGGAGUAAAUUGGAAGAAGAAGAUGAAUGAAUCUGUGAUUUUGGGAGAGAAAAAGUCAACAAGAAGAAGUUGAAUAAAUGAAGCUUUGUUGCAUUUAUAAGCGUAAAGCCUAAAGUCACAACGUAUCUCUGUCUUCCACGUCUUCCCUAUUUACCAUUUUCCUACCACGCGGGGAAAUUACUAUAGUUUGGUUGCACAAAAAAACUGUUAUAGUUUUACCGCAGUGCGGUAAAAAGAACGUACUCACUCUGUUUUACAAAUACUGUCAUUCUACGCUUUUUCACACAUAUUAAGAAAACUAUUAAAAUUUCUUUUAUACCCCUUAAUAAUACACUAAACAAAAUUAUCUCUCUUAUUAAUGCAUUAAAAAAAUAGGGUUAAAAGUGAAUUUUUAUUCAAUAUUUUGCAUUGAAAAUACAAAACGACACUCUUUGUGAAACAAAAAUAAAUCUUAAAACGACACUCUUUUUGAAACGGAGGGAGUAUUAUACUAAUGUAUAGUUACUAUAAAAAAAUGGUAUAGAACAUUGUUUGAACAAUGAGUGUGGUGCUGAUAAAAUAAUUAUCAAAUUAUAACUAACUUUAGUAAUAUUUCAAGUGAUUGGUAAGUAUAGUGCGGACCGGACAAUGCAUACCAAUAUUUUAGUAUGCAAAAUGUCAGACUGUAGUAUGGAGCAAACAAUUGUAUGUUGGUAUGGAGUUUAUGUUGGUAUGGAGCUUUUGGGGAGUGAAAUGAAAAAAUGUGGACCAAGAGUGAAUUUAUGAUGGUAUGGAAAAGUAUGCUGAAGUGCAUACUAGUAUGAAGAUUUUUAGUAUGCAACAGUGCAUACUAGUCUGGAAUAGUGAAUGGUGAAUUAAGUGCGUAUUGAUUCGAUUUUAAUCCGGUUGCAACAUAUUAUACAACCAUUCAAAGCCUAUGUCUAUAUAUUUGAUAAAUAUAUGAAACACUUGUAGUUAGAUGUUUUUAAAACGGAGUAUGCGGAUAGAAAAAGCUGGACCAAAUACUUAUAAUUUAAUAAACGUAUGUCUCAUACUUUGCAAAAGGUUGUUGAAUAGUGAAUGGUGAAUUAAGUGCGUACUGAUCCAUGGCUCUUUGUUGUUUGAUGUUUCUUGCAAAUCUCAAUUGUUUUGUUAAAAAAUAAUACUUUUUUUUUUACAUCUUUCUAUUUUUAUGUAUAAUAUUAAUAUAGAAAAAAUGUAACUUCAAAUACCAAGUUUUGAACAAAUGUCUUUUUGUGUGUGUGUUGGUGCUGAAAUCCACACUCGAGAUUUGUACUUAGUUUUUAUGGGCAAAAAGAACUAGACUUUCAAUGAAACUCUGAGAAUUGAAUUGCUAUAAACGAAUGGAUUUUAUUGAUAUGAAUCAAGUGAAUACAGUGGAGAGUAUGUGAAUACAAGUGUUUUUGAGUAUUAGGUUUAAGUAGGCAAGUAGGCGAUGAUCCUCCUUAGGUCGUCCAUCUCUCCUUAUAUAGGUCUUUGAACUAGGUUAGGAGUUCCGAGAUCCGCGCCACUUUCUCCUAAAUAUUAGGUUUGUUCCGAGAUUUUAGCCGACCUGGUCACUCGUCAUUAUCAAGUCGUCUUCUACUCCUUAUGGGCCGCCAGGUCGGGCCUAAUAUGCGAAGCCCGUUAAUAUUUUUGCUGAUGGAUUUCGAGGUGCGAAAUCCAGGUCCAACAGUGUGCUAACGACUGAUUUUUAAAAAAUUUCGAUCACUUUCCGUCUAUUAUUAUUUGUUAAAUUAUGGUUUAAAUCAUAGUUUAGAUCACAUAAUAUAUAUUUUACCGUUUUAAAAAAAAGAACAUAUAUAUAAGUUGUAAUUAUGCUUGUGUAAAUACAACUUAUAUUAUGUGAUCUUUGAACAUAAGUCUAACCUAAUUGUUAUGGUUUAGGGUAACGACAUGCACACAAUUGUUCUCAAAUAAUUCAUAUCUAAAAAACUUUUGUCCAAAUUUUUGUCAAAUAACAUAUUUGUAACUAAUAACAUUGUAGAAAGAUUUGCUGAAAACCUUGAUGAUUUCAUGCGUUAGAUAAUGUCAGAUGAUGUAGUUUCAUUAUGAAAUAGAAAAAUUGUUUGGAUGUGGAUCUUUGCAAUCUAUUUCUCUAAUAUCCACCUAUUUGUAAUAUCCACCUAUUUGAUUAUCGAUUACAACAAAAUUUUUGAUUUCCUUGAAUCUUGCACACUACUAUUAAACUCUCGCUUUAUUGCAUGUCACUCUAAUCUUGAAGAGUUUACCAAUUUGAAAAUUUAUGAAACUGAAAUUUCACUAUUUUACUAUUUCUAAAAUUAUGGCUCAACAUUAUGAAUUUGUUUUGGAUUCACAGUUCUCAAAAAUAUCAAGUUCUUUAAACAUAGCCAAUUUUUUCAAUAAAAAAUUAUUGCUUUUUUCUUAAAAAUCUCAAACCACAUAUUGAUUUUGUUAAUAUAUUUUUGUUGAGGGUUUUUAUUUUAUUUUCCUAUAUCAUUUUAAUUGAGGAUUCUAAAUUAAAUUUGGUGAUUUGAAUUUCAAACUCUUUAAAAACAUCUAUCAAAAACUAAAUUUCUCAUAUAAAUAUGAGUAUUUUUUUUCCUAAAAGUGUUGGUUCACAAAUCACAUCACAACCACAUGAAACAUAAAUAUACAAUUAAAAACAAAUAAUUAAAUAAAAAAAUUAAAAAUUGGCCAUCUUUCCAGUUGCCGCUGCCAGCCGUUUCCUUCUGCUUUUUCACUUUUCCGUUCUCUCUCUCUCUCUCUCUCUCUCUCUCUCUCUCUCUCUCUCUCAAACCUUUUUUUCUCUGCUUCCGUUUCUCCGUUCAAAACAAGAUCGAAUCAUAAAAAGAUUACUCCUUUUUUUCUUCUCGAAAGAAAGGAGAAUUCUUCACGUCUUCUGCUCCAUUUUCCGUCAAUACCCAUUUCUUCUAUCGCUCUCGUUUCCAAGAAAAGAGGGCUUUUUUUUUUUUGGUUUAGAGAAAAGCAAAACUCAAAUGGCGACGAACAUCGGAAUGAUGGAUAGUGCUUACUUCGUUGGAAGAAACGAGAUUCUGACUUGGAUUAAUGAUCGUCUUCAGCUCAAUCUCUCUCGCGUCGAAGAGGUAUUCCUUCUUCUUGUAUAUCUCUGCAUGCGAGCUUUCUCUAAUUCUUCUUUGGUAAUGUUGAUUUGGGAAUUAGGGUUUUGAACUUUGAAGGAAUUGUAGAUUUGGGUUUGAUUUGUUUCAACUGGUUAGUGAGAAUUCAGUGUUUGGAUUAUUGGAGGAUGGUAGUGAUAUUUGGGGCUAAGUUCAUAUGUUGAGGCAUUUUAUGAUUGCUUAGUUGUUUUGGUUGUUAAAAUGUUGCAAUGUCAUAGAUUUACUGUUGUUGUGAGGGAUCUAAAGAGUCUCAGUAGUUUUGUGUCAGUCAUGAGACUCUGUUGUCUUUGUUCUAAGUAUAAAUUUAUGGGUUUUGCUAGGCUGCAUCUGGUGCUGUGCAAUGUCAAAUGCUUGAUAUGACCUUUCCAGGAGUUGUGCAAAUGCACAAGGUGAUUUUUAACUUUUAUAGUUAUCUAUCUUACGAUUACUUUUGCUUCUUGGCGGCUGAAUAACUCAAAUUUUCCUCUGCAAGGUUAACUUUGAUGCGAAGAACGAGUACGACAUGAUACAGAACUACAAGGUCCUGCAAGAUGUGUUCAACAAGCUGAAAAUUACAAAGGUAAAUCAAUCAUCUUUUGAUAUGUUGCGUUCCUGUGUAUAUAUCAUGUAUAUGUAUUACUCAGCUUGUUUGUCUUACUGAGAAAACACCUCAGCCAUUGGAAAUUAACAGGCUUGUCAAAGGCCGACCACUGGACAACUUGGAGUUUUUACAAUGGCUGAAGCGUUUCUGUGAUUCCAUUAAUGGUGGCAUUAUGAAUGAGUAUGGGGUUUCAUCUGUCAGAUUUUUGGAUUUGUUAACCCUCCGUUGUUUUCCAAACAAUCAAGCUUGUAAAAUCUGUGGUUUCUUGUAGGAACUAUAAUCCAGUGGAGCGAAGAUCAAGAAAUGGUAAAGAGAGGAGUGUGAAGGGAUCUAACAAGAUUCCAAAGUCACUGCAAACUAACAAUAAUCAUCCUCCACCCAAUUCCGGUUCAGUUGGACUUAGCAAAGCAUCAGGUCUGCCCUUAAAUAAACAGAUUUUCUAUGCAAACAAUAAGAAUUCUUUUAUGCAUCUUUCUAAACAUGUUGGUAUCAUAAUUCUCAGGGCCCAAGCCAGCAAAAGCAGCUGAAGUGCAGGCUAUGUCGAAGGAGGUAUAUUGACAUAGAUCCUAUCGCUCUUAGUAUAAGCUUUCUUCUUAGUUUUCACCUAUACUCUAAUGGACGAAACAUCCACCAUAUGUAAUAUAUAACCCUUUCUUCAUCUUCUGCGAUACAGCUUGCAGAUCUCAAGAUCUCUACUGAUCUCUUGGAAAAAGAAAGAGACUUUUACUUCUCCAAGCUUCGGGAUGUUGAGAUACUCUGCCAAACUCCUGAACUAGAUGAUCUUCCGGUAAGCGCUUCCGUAGAGCCUGUUUUUUCCAAACCUUGUCUCACUCUAUCUUGCAUGGUAUAUCAUAUCGUUCUUAGAAUCAAGGACAAAAAACAGCUCUUACUAAUGAGCUCCUGCACAACCAGAUUUCAUCAGCGAGCACAUUUAAUGUUUCUCAUCAUUUUGUGAUACAUAUGCUUCCCUGGAAUGCAGAUAGUGGUAGCAGUGAAGAAGAUACUGUAUGCAACCGAUGCAAAUGAAUCUGCACUAGAAGACGCUCAAGAGUACUUAAACCAGUCCCUAGGAGUUGAAGAUGAAGCUGAAGCAAACGGAGAACAACAGGAAGAAGAAAAGACUCAAGCCUAAGCUCUGACUAUUAACAAUCCUAAGUAGAAGAACUUUCCGAAUCAAAAUUUUCAGGGUGACAGACAAUGGCUAGUCAUGGCCUUUCUUGCAAGUUUCUUUUGUUAAAGGAAACUUACUGAAACUUGAAGAUGAAUGAGCUUAUUAGAAACCUUUAGUUUGAAAACAGUGAGACUUAUUUUUGUUACUAUUCAAGAGGCUUUUUUUUUGUUUUAAAACAAUUACUUUGACCCAAAAGUGAGAAUCUUAAAAGUGUCAGAGCUUCCUCUUUUUAGCUUCUCUAUUAAAUCAUGAAUCAUUAAGAUAAUGAAGUUUCACACCGAGACGAAACAAAACCAGGGCUGGUUAGUACAAUUUCAAUUAAAAAUCCAAACUUGAGUGUUAUAUUUUAAUCCUCAAAUAAAUGAAAUGAUCCCAACUAUCCGUAUUUGUGCGAGUCUAUGAAUGUACCUUCCUAGUCGACUCUCCGAUGACAUCAGUGAGAUAUUGAUUUGCUGAAAGCGAUCUAACUAAGAGAAGACUCUACUCUUAGCUACCUUCUUGGCUUCGGCUUCACUCAAAUAUCGAACGCUGUUCUCACGUAACCACUUAUCGCCUCUACUCAGACCGUCCUUCACUUUCUUCUCUUCCAUCUUCAGAAGCGUAAGCCCCUCACUUAGUUUAGGAAAGAAACCUUCGGGUCUAACGCACCACGUCCUGAAAACCCCAUAUAGAACCUCCAUGUCUUCUUUUAACCUUUCGACUCCAUCAUUGGAAAACUUCACGUUCGCCAUCAAGAUGCUGUUGAAGAACAACUUGUCUAUCUCAGAGGCUAGAGUCCUCCACAUAGCUGUAAAGUCUGCUUUGUUUAGAUUUUCUUCUAUUAUAGACGUUUUUCCUUGCAAAUAGUCUAGAGCCCCAACUAGUGCCCUUGACACUGUCCAUUCUUUGUCUCUCUUCUCCUGCCAUUGCUUUCUGUUUUUUAUGUAUUCUCGAGUUCGAGCAUCAAAGCCUCUCAAGACCACCACAGACAACUUGUUUAUCCACUCUAGCCGGAACUUCUCCAACUUCUCAAAUUCUUCUCCGAAAAUACCUUCAGAAGGUUCUGUAAAAUUCUCCAGUCCUGGAACUUCCUGUGGAUCGUGCUGUCCAGUUCCCAUUUCGAGGAAAUAUACAUCUUCAGACCAUUCUUCUAAUACAGAUUCAAUGUAGUGACCAGCAUUGAUAGAGUUUGAGACCUUGAUUAGAUCGUUAUUUUCGGUUAAUGCAGUUAGUCCUUCGGCGUCUUGGCACCUGAGAAGGAGGCAAUCCAAGAACUUAUGGAUUGUUGGUGAGGCUGCCAAUUUCAGGAACCUUGCCCUCAAAUAUAUGGCCGGUACUGAUUUGGAUCGUUCGAUUAUUGAUGACAAAUGCUGCAGAAAGAUGCUGGAAAUGAUUGGUGGUCUGUAAACGUUGGAAGUGGAGAUGAGUUCGUCUUGGACCUUUGCUGUCCAAUUUCUGUCGUUAUCAAUAUCUGCCUUGAAUUUGACUAGCCUCUCAUCUAGCUCUAUCUCUGCCCAUAAAUCGAGCCAAUCAGGUCUGUCACAGAAAACUGAGAGAGAGGAAAUUCUCAGAAGAUUCCCAUCUUCUUGAAGCGAAAGUAUUCCUGAUUGUGAUACCAGAGACUGUACUCGCUUAUCAAAAGAGAUCAUCAGGUCAAUGAGAUGGAGCCACGAAACCUUGGCCUCAGAACGAAGAUCAGUUUCAUUUGCUUCGUUUAGCUGUCCAACAUAUAUAGGGAAUAUCUCUUUCACCAAGUACAAAGACAAUGAGCUUACCAUAGCCGAAACCCACUCUUAUCGGCAACUGUACCCAGCUAGUUUUGCUUCAUCAACGAGCGGUUGUAACAACUCAUCCAUAGAAUCGACAUAGUCCCUUGUGAUUUUAUACACAAGGGCAAAAAUGAAUUCAGGCUUUUCGCUCCACUUUGUAAAAUGUCGCUGAGAUGCAACUGUCAGAGGGUUGACCAGCUCUUCAAUAGCCCAGAGUGGCUGGUGGAAAAGAACAUUUUCUCCCAUAUGGCUCCCAAGCUGCCGCGACUUUCUUUGCAACUGCAACCCCUGCAGGCUGCACAAGGCCUGAAAAUUUCCACAGUAUUGACUUUUGAGGCUCCCUUCCAUGUUGAAAAGCGGAUUUUGGACAUUUUCUGACUUUGAAUCAAGACUAGCUGAAGUUAGUGUAGAAAGCUGAGGUGGCCAUCCAAGAGAAGAAAGCAACGCUCUGUAAUCCGCAAUUGCUUGAGGUCUCAUCAUGGCUAAGGCUCUAUCUACUCUGUGAUCAACUGCAGAAACAAUACGUGCCCACCGAGGAUGUCUCCUAGCUACUGAACUCAGUAUCUCUUCUGUCGUUUUAAGUGUUUUGAUAGCAUGUAGACGCACUUCCUGUAAUCAGUAAAAAUUCAGAACAUUGAUCCGUACAUACGUUCGAAACUUUUUAUACAGAACACUCAAACUGAAGAAAAUGUGCUUACUUCAAAACCGCUUGAUCGAGAUGUUCUCAAGUUUAUAUUCAAAGAAGACAUCACAGCAUCCUCGAUAUCACCCACUAAAGUAUCAAGUUUUAGUGCAGUCUCUGAAACAUAGAGAAACAUCUUUAAAGAUUGAACGCAACUAACAGUGACCAAACUAAGAAGGAAGGUUGGAAACUCCAAAUUUGGGACUAUCUAAUCUCAAUCAACAUCAAUAACACCGACUCUUUAUCAGAAACUAUCCAGCCAUCAAAUGCAAAACGCCUUAACACCAACUAAAGCAAACAUACCAGCAUAAGCCCGCACAGACUCAACUUGUGCGACUUCCUUUGCUAAUGACGGAAGCUCCUCCCCGGCUAAUUGCUCCGUCGCCUCCUCCUCCUUUCCGCCAUCUAAAUGAAUUAAACAUAUUAACAAUUCUCAAAUUAUAACGGAAAUGUAUUUAACAAACACCAGAGACUCAAUUUUUCAUCAUUGACUACAACAUUUCACGAUCAUAAUCAGCAUUUCUCUGUUUCUUUAGACGAAUCGUGAUGAAAUCAAUACGAACCUGACGCGGAGCGAGGAACGGAGGUAGAAGAAGAGAGAUUAGCCAAUUUGGCAUUAACCUCGACAAAUAAACCACCGACGCGAUCGGAAAACGAAGCGUAAGAAGCAAGACCGGACUCGAGCUGGCGAUUUAAUCCGGCUAAUCUCUGAUCCAAUUCGGAAAUCUCGGUCUGUAACUCAGAAACCAGACCUGGAGACUGGGAGAGAUCCGUGGAGUCUCUGAAUUUGUCAUCGAGGAAGCUAAAUACUGAAGCGGAGAAGCUCGAGACCUGUGGAAGUGGUUUGAUCGCCUCCAUUUGCGAUUCGUCGUCGUUGGCUCAAUUUCAUCGAGAACAAUGAUAAUUCGUUAGAAGAGGAUACUGAGUCAUUUGCAUUGCCUCGGAGUGUUGAUGAGUUGUCAGUUUUUUUGAUAACACGGAUAAUGGGCUUUAUUUAAGCCCAUUAAGUUCAGGACAGUGGCUUCAAAUAAAUUGAUUCAUUGUUUGGUUGAUACUUUUAAAUUGAGCAAUACUUCGGUUCUCCCUGGGGUGAAUUCUUCUAUUCACCCUCUUUUAUUUUAAUCGAUCAUAAUUCGUCACAUAAUAAAAAAAUUAUAUUUAUUUAAUUAUUAAAUCUAAUUUCUAACCACUCUUUUAUAAACUCAAACCGAUAUAUAAUCUCGUUUAAUUAUAAAAUCUAAACUCUAAUUCUCCUUUGUAAACCCAAACCGUCAUUUAAACUCGUUUAAUCGUAAAAAAUCUAAAUCCUAAUCGUAUUUUUUAAACCCAAACCGACAUUUAACCUCGUUUAAUUGUGAAAUCUAAAUCCGUUUAUAAACCCAAACCGAUAUUUAACCUUGUGUAAUCAUAAAAUCUAAACCGUAAUCGUACUUUCUAAACCUAAACCGACAUUUAACCUCGUUUAAUUGUAAAAUUCAAAUCCAUUUAUAAACUCAAAACCGAUAUUUAACUUCGUUUAAUUAUAAAAUCUAAACUCUAAUCGUACUUUCUAAACCCAAACCGACAUUUAACCUCGUUUAAUUGUAAAACCUAAAUCCGUUUAUAAACCCAAACCGAUAUUUAACCCCGUUUAAUCAUAAAAUCUAAACCCUAACCCUUUCUAAUAAACCCAAACCGAUAAAUAAUUUUGUUUUAGUGGCAAAUUAGAUUUUAUAAUUAAAUGAAAUUUUUUUAUUAUUAUUAGAUGACAGAUUAUUCACCCUAGUUUCUAACUUCUACCUAAUGAGCUAAAAAGUUUUUUUUUGGUUUAAUGUGAAUGACUGAAAAGUUAGAAGAAACCUUCAUGACGGUUUCAAGAUAAAAUGAAAAAGCCCAUCCAUUAUAAUUGGGCUAUUACUCUAUUAGCCAAUGAAAUACAUUUCAUCUGUAAAAACACUUGGUAUAUAUCUGGGCUGUAAGUAUUUGUUAGAUUCUUUGCAUUCCAAGAGUUGCACCAAAUCCAGCACAUUUUACUUGGAAAUCUUUUUAAUUUUGAAUGUCUGAGAAGCGCAAUGUAUUAAUUCGGGUGUGAUAUACUAUUCUAACAGUAUUGUUUUAGUAGUUAAAAUAUACUCUCUCCGUUUUUUUAUAAGUGAUAUUUUAAGCUUCUAAUUUUGUUUUUAAAUAGAUGAUGUUUUCAUUUUUCAAUGCAAAAUUAAUUAUUUUUUAUUGAUUUUGACGAUUUAUAUUUUGUAGAUUAUUUUUUUAUUGGUUGAUAAGAUAAUAAAUGAUGUUUUAGUUUAAAAAUAAACAAAAUUAAAUGAUUUCUUAAUCUAUUUGCAUUCUUCUAAAACAUCACUUAUAAAAUAACGGAAUGAAUAUUAACUAUGAUAAAUAAUUGUUUUUUUUUAUAAACAGAUGUGAAAGACAGCGGAUAAAAAGUGUGUUCAUCUUGAUUGAUGAUAACUUGGAAGACGACAUUUUUUUACCACUGCAAUCAAACCACUAGUUAAUUCGUUAAUUGUCGAUUAAAGUUUUAUUUUAUUUUUUAAUUUAUAAAGGGAUAUAGUUUGAUGAGGCUAAAAAAAAAAAAAAAAACUUUGCUGACUUAGCAACGUUUAUCUAUGUAACCAAGGGGCAAUUUGGUCAUUUCAAGUUCCAUUCCACCUAUACGUAAAACUACCGGCCUUGCACUUUCCCACAAAAAAACAGGUAGCCCCGCACACAGAGAUAAAAGCAUUUUCAGGCUUCUCUCAUGCACAAACAAUUAUGCUGUAGUAAUGUUUUGAUUUUUUUAGCUUAGUUGAUAGAUCUUUACAGCUUUAUUUACUGAUUAAUAUAUUCUAUCUUUACAGUUUUAUUUCCUGAUUAACAUACUCCUCUUUGAAAUACUUGUCGUCCUAGAUUGUUUUACGUAGAUUAAGGAAUUUUAUAAAUUGGCUACUUUAACCUCACAACAACAUCAAUUUACAAUCUUAAUUGUAGUGCAUUUGUUUUUAAGCAUUUCAAUCGUAAUUUUUUUAGUAUUUUUACUCAUUCAAUACAUAAUUAACAGCUUUUACUAAAUUAAAUAUACAUAAUUUUGACUUGUUGAGUACAAAAAUAAGUCGCUUUGGUCUAGUUGUAAAUGAGAGAAAAGUCUCCGCCACUUGGGCUCAAAUAACAUUGGCCACCGGAAUUCGAAUUCUAACAUGGUUUCCGCGGAUCCCAAGAUUAGUCUUUGGGCAUAAAAAGCUUUUAAAAUCACCUGAGUUAUAAAAAAAAAAUGUAAGUGAAGGGAAUCCAAAAUUUUCACUUCAAUGUCACAAUUGAAGAAAAUGUCACAAUUGAAAAAAAAAGUAAUGGAGACAAAUAUUAAAUUUCAAAACUUUUCACGUAUAUAUAUAUUUGAGCAAAUCACGUUUUUAUAUAUUAACAUGUACUUUUACCAUUAGAUCAUCUUCCAUAACAAGUUUUGAUCUAAACUUUUCACCAACAAACAAUAAAAACCAUUCGUUUGAAUUGAAUACCACUCCAGCAAAGAGUGAUGAUUAUUCUGGAUAUGGAAAUUUUAGAGAUGAAGGUGACUCUGUUCAUGCGACAAAGGAAACAUAUAUCGAAAAUGGUGAACCAGUUAUAAGGAUUAUAUCAUCUUCUGAAAUAAUCAAAGUAAUCAUUUUUCAGAAGAUGAUAUAAUCGAUGUCAACGUAAAUCUGUCGGAAAAAUAUAAUUCUCAAAUACUAGAAUUAGAUGUCGAUCAAUUGUAUGAAGAAAGUCAAGAUCUAAUUUUACAAAAUGAAUUUCUAAAUCUAACAAUUUAUAGCCUUUAAAACCUGCAGGGUACCCUAGAAAAACACAUGAUCUUGCUCUAGGAGAAAAUUUGGUUCUUUCAUUUUGAGUAGUUGAAACUUGUAACAUAACACAAAAAAACAAAAUUCUUUAAAAGCAAGUAAUCAGGUAAUUUGUCAAGUAAAAGCUCAUAAGACGACUUAUUGUUAAGCAAUGGUGAUGGUAAACGAUUGAUUAAGAAAACGGUUGUAAACACACAAUCACUCCAAUACUGAAGAAGCACAUUAGACUGAAAAAGCUAGCAACAUUUAAAAGAUGAUGAUGCUUCCUCUCAACAACUGAGUUUUGUUGAAGAGUAUAAGCACAAGAAAAAUAAUGCAUCUUGCCUUGUUCUUUAACUAAUUCAUUGAAAGCAAGCUCAGGUGCAUUAUCAGAUCUAAUAACUUUUAUUUUUGCAUUUAACUGAGUUGAAACAAGUUUAACAAAAACAGGAAAGACAGUUGAAACAUCCUUUUUAUUUCUUAACAUAUAAAUCCAGGUGGUUCUUGUACAAUCAUCUACCAAAGUAAGAAAGUAUCUAAAACCUUCAACAGAUUCAGCACUAAAAGGAUCCCAUAUAUCCAAAUGAACAAGAUCAAAUAGUUUUGGAGCUAAAUUGUUAUGAGAAAUAUAUGCUAAUCUCUUCUGUUUUGCUAAAGGACAUAUAGAACAUGUAGAAUUUUCUGAACUAAAAGACUUAAGAAAAGGAAUGACACUAACAAGUUUAUGUAAAAAAAUAGACGAUGGAUGCCCUAAUAUUUGAUGCCAAAGCUUUCCAUCUAUAACAGAUCCAGAGAAAGAACAAGCAGCAAGUGUUGAUGGAGAGAGGGAAGUAUUCUCUGUCUCAAGAAUGUAUAAGUUGUGAUAUAUUCUACCCCUCCCAAUCAUCAAGCCCUGAGAAUGUUCAUGAAUCAAAUAACAAUCAACAUAAAAAUGAGCAGAACAAGAUAAUGUUUUGACCAAAGAACUCACACUAAUCAGAUUGAAUUUGAAAGCCGGUACAUGAAAAACAUUAUGUAAAAUGAGUGUCUUGGUAAUGCAAACAGUGCUUGUAUGUGUAAUGGAUACGCUAGUACCAUUUGGAAGAGUGACAGUAACACCAAAACUGGUUUUAAUUCUCUAAACAUGGCUAGAUUUGAACAUACAUGACUAGAAGCUCUACUAUCUAUAAUCCAAGCAUCACGUGGCAAAAUUUUUUGAAAAGAAGAAAGAAUGUGAUUUUGAAAAGUGAGAUUAUUGUUUUCAAACUUAAGACUAGUAGAAGAAAAUAGAAAUUCAAUACCAUAAGUUGAUGUAUGAGCCAUUAAACCAUGUUCUGAGAUAGUAGCCGUAGGACUAGGUGUGCUCGUAGAAGUUACAGGCUCUGAAACUUGAACUUGAGCUUGAAAUUGUGAAACCAUUUGUUCAAUUUAUUGCGGACUAAACUCUUGGAGAUUUUGUCUAUUACCACAAGUACUUUGGUUCCUUAGUCCAUCAGAAGUUACAGGCUCCAAGAGUUUAGUCCGCAGCAAAUUGUGAACCAUUUGUUCAAUUUGUUGCGGACUAAACUCUUGGAGAUUUUGUCUAUUACCACAAGUACUUUGGUUCCUUAGUCCAAAGUACCAUAAGAACCAUUCAUCAGUACAAGAACUUUCAUAUAUCCUUCUGAUGGAUAAGUACCAUUCUCAGUAUGCACAUGAGCCACUGCCUUAGCUUUUUUGCAUAGAAUUAGCAUAAGGCAUCAUUUGCAUAUGAGACUGCAGUUGCAUUUUAGGCUGAAUUUGCAUCAUCUGCAUCCGAGGCUGUAAAGGAGUAUUACAUUUGUAAGUAUAUCCUAUAGUCCCUGCUUUAUAACCUGGUGGAUAUCCAAGAAUCUUGAAACACUUUUGAACUGUAUGUCCUACUUUCCCACAGUGAGAACAUACCGGCUUUUGUGAUGGUCUUACAGUGUUAUAAGCAACAAUAUAUGCACUCUCUUCAUCAUUCAUCAUAGAAGUAGUGCUUUGGAAAGCAACAUUAUCAACUCUAGUAGGUGGCUUAACACUCUUGUGUCUCUCUCCUGAGUCACAACGUUGAAUGCUUCCUCUAUAGUAGGUAUGGGUUUUAACAUCAGGAUAUGACACCUAGUUUAAUCAUAACUUUCAUUCAACCCCAUAAGAAACUUAGUCACCCUACCUCUCUGUUGUAUUUUCUCCCAUUUAACAGCUGCAUCACAUUCACAACGACCACAUGUACACACAUGAAGCUCUACAUAGUUAUUGUGCUCUUCCCACAAAUUAAGUAAAGUUGUAUAGGAAGUAAAUACAUCCAUAGCUCCUUGUUCAAUCUUAUAUAAUUUAUGUUCAAUAUCAAAUAUCCUUGGAGCAUCAUCUUGUUUAAAACGAGUUAACAAAUUGUUCCAAAUUCUUUCUGCAGUUGUUAUAAAGAGUAAACUCUGACCAAUCUUUUUAUCAACAACCAUGUUGAAACAAUGUCAUUGCAACGUGACCAAGCACCAUAAUCUCGAUGAUCAAUCAGAACAAUCAUACCAUUGAUGAAUCCUAAUUUAUUACGAACAUUCAAUACCAUCAAAACAGAAAAACGCCAAGACGGAAAAUCAGAAGAAUUCAAGAAAUGAUCAGAAACAUGAACAAGACCUGUGUGAUCUGCACUGUGUAGAUAAUAGGGAUUAUCAUAUUGAUCCGCUGGGUAACGUGGUUGAUCGGCACCAUUUAACAUAAGAUCCCAUUCUCAGUUUAAAAACAAUAAAUUACAAAGAAAAGUGUGACGAUUGAGUAAAGAAAACAAGAAUCGUCAGCACUAGAGGUCAUCAAAAGAGAGAUUAAAAGAAACAGAAUGGAAAAUUAAAAUUCCGGUGAACAAAAUGAAGAAAUCGCAAAUCUCGAACAAAGAAGAAAUCAAAGAACAAAUGAAGCCAAGAACAAACUGGAAAGCUCAUCUCCCGCGAACAUAUGAUUGCGGAAGAAGACGAUUAGGCUCUGAUACCAUAUUGGAUUCCGAUCAUCGAAAUCUCAGGAUCGAAGAAGAGCUUAACAGAAACUUAACAAACUUUAUUAUGAUAAAAUGUUGUUACAAAGCUUAAGUGUAAACUAAUGAUGAAAUAAACUUAUAUAGUAUUUACAUUAAACCAAGAUGUAGUUAACCAGAGUUAAUCAGUAAUAACCGGCCCAUAUAUCACUCUAGUAGAGAUCAUGGUAAAUUGAAUCGUCACCUUCUUCUUUUCUUUGGUGACCCUUAAGUUAUUUCAAAACGUAAGAUUAAUAUUAAAAUUUAAAUAUUCAGUUUUUAAAUUUUUAUACUCCUUCCGUUUCAUAAUAUAAGGCGUUUUGAAAAAAAAAUUUGUUUCACAAUAUAAGUCGUUUUCGAGUUUCGAUGCAAAUUAUAUAUUACUUUAAUAUUUUAUGAUUAUUUAUAUUAUGCAGUGUAUUUUAUGAUUGGUUGAACUUUUUAAAAGUAGAUCUUCUUAAUCGGCGUGUUUUUACCUAAAACGAUUUAUAUUAUGAAACGAAGAGAGUAUAUUGUAUUAGUUUAAUUGAGAUUAUAUUUGGAAUUCUUUUACAAAAAUACACUAAAAAGCUAAAACGACAAGUAUUUUAAACGAAGAGAGUAAUAACUAAAUACAUUGAUGGGUUGAAUGAAAAUUAACUGGUAGACUACAUACCUAAAAUAAUUAAUCAUCUUAUUCAAGAAUUAAUUAGAGGUUUUUAUCUUCCUCUUUUUGUCAACUUAAAAUAUUUUAUCAAGAUACGUGUCCAAAGCACGAGAACUUACUUAUUAAAGAAAGUGUACAUCUCGAAUCCUAACUAUAAAUAAUAUUUAAAGAACGUGAGAUAAAAGGGGUGAUUGGAUGAUACUUUUAAGACUUUAAAAAGUUUUUAAAAUUUUUAAAAGUUUAUUUUUACCAAUCAAGCUUUUUUGGUUUCAAUAAAUUUUAAAGCCUUCAAAGUCUCUUUUUUAUUUUUACUCUUUGCUUUCAGUUUCUUUUUAAGUCACGUAAAUAAGGCUUUAGAAAUAAAUAACCUAAAAGCUUAUAGUUUUUUUUUUUUUUUUCUCAUAUAUAUGUAAAUCCUUAUAACUUUCACAAAUAAAUUAAUUUUUGAAAAAUUCAGUAGAUUUACAUUUAAAUCUUUUCUCUUGUUCUUUUAAGAUCCAUUUUCCCAUAUAUUUGGUGGUUAUUUAAAAUCGUAAUUUCUAAAGUCAUAGGUUUUACCAAUCGGUUAUUAAAUUUAUACAGUCAAAGUCUUUACAGCCAAAGUUUCUACAGCAAAAGUUUUUACAGUCAAAGUCUUUACAGCGAGAAUUAACAGUCGUUACCAAUCGGUCCCAAAAUGUACUGGUGGUACAAAGGAGUAGAUAUUUUUUGUGUUCUGAAUUCAAAUUUUUUUUUUGAGAUAGAGUGACAUUCUUUAAACUGACAUUUUUUUUUUGAAUAUUAUCGAAACAGAUUAUGGUUUAAAAGCCUGAAAUUCUCAGCGGUUUGAAAAAAAAAAUGUGAGAUAAAAUGUAACUAAAAAUAAUAAAUUGUAUGUUAAUGACAAGAAACUCCACAAGCUGAUGUGGGAAAGCAUGUCAAUCCUCGGAAUUUUCUAACAUCUUGAUUACAUCGGAGUAAGCGGUUUCAAAAGUCAUACCUACCAUACAAUGGGUUAAUAAUAAUAAUACUUUUGUCCACAAGAUUAGAAGUUUUGCUUGAAUAAAAAGGCUAAAAUUUUCAAGAUACUGUUCAUUAAUGUAUUUAUUGCAAAUUCGAUUAUGUAUGAUAUUUACAAGUUCAUAGUUUUGUUAAUUAAGUGGGGAUUAAGGUAAUCGUGACAAUAAAAAAAAAGGGUGGGAUUAAUGUAUUCGUGUGAAUGUGGAUACUUCUCCUUCACGGCAAAAGGAAAAGACAAGACACUAAAAAUAAUUAAAUAGAAAGAAUAAAAAAAGCGAAAACAGACAACAAAACCCAAAACAGGAAGACUUAAACAAAUAAGAACACAGUAAGAAAAAACUUUUCCUUAACUGUAUUUUUGAACUAUUCAUAUAUAUAUGAUUAGUCUCUCUGCAAUUUAAAUUCAAACAUUUGUGCUCUCUCAUCUCAAAAACUACACUAAAGCUAUAAAUCAUCAUUCAUCUAAAGUCUUCAAAAAGGUUUUGAUUCUGAAUUCUUGGUUUCUUUUUAACGAGUUCUUGAUUUUGAGUCUGAUUCUGUGUUUCCUUUUGUUUCUCAGCAAUGGAUUACACAAAAAGCGAAGAAACACCGAUAAACCGUCUUCAUUUCCCGGCGACAGAGCUAAACCACUACGAAGAACAACAAGGAUCAACAAAUUCAUCUGAAAGCAGAAGCAAUGAAGAGGUCUCUGACUGUGAUCAGCAACAUUCUUCAAUAGCUAACGAGCUCGGGCUAAUGGAGUUGCCUAAAGACGAUAAAGCUUACAAGCUAAUCUAUGGUCAUUGCCAAUCUAAGCUAACUUCUCACUUAGGCAAUCAAUUUCAGAUUGUAUCAAUUCUCAAGAACGGAUUUAAAACACCAUUAGGACAAGCUAAGCUCAAAGCCUUUCAGAUAUACACUGAGUCUGUGGCAAAGAAAAGCGGAAGUUACUGCGAAUGCGGUGGAAACAAAGCUGCUGCUGGUGAAGCAGCGAGAGUGAAAUACGGUUGUUGCGGUGUGGAGAAGGAAGAGUUAAAAGCGAUUCUAAUGUAUGGAUUUAGCCAGUUUAGGAACAACAAUGGCUUAUGUCUCUCACCAGACAAUGCUUCUCUUCAAUGGUAAACAACAACAAAACACUUAUUACAUUUUUUUUUUCAUUUUGCGUUUCAUAAUCUUCAAUGAGUCUCAUCAUUAAUCAUUUUUUUUUUUUUGUAUAGUAUGAUAGAUCCUUCAUCAUCUUGUAACGAAGACGGGACUAGAUUCUUGUUGUUUUCAAGAAUUAUUAUGGGAAAAUCAGAGGUUAUGGGCUCGACCGCACAAUCGUAUCCGAGUUCUCCAGAGUUUGAUUCAGGUGUAGACAGUUUAAUAUCUCCGAAGAAGUAUAUGAUUUGGAGCACACACAUGAACACUCAUGUUUUGCCUGAGUUUGUUGUUUGCAUCAAAACUCCAUCCAUCUUGAGAAGUAGUAAGCACACAAAAAUGUUAGUUCCUCUCUUCUUUAAUUCACAAGUUGUUCACUUGCUGAUUUGGUAUGUUUUUUUUUUCUAUGCAGAGAACCCGAAAUCGCCUUGGAUUUUGUUUCCAAUACUGAUCAAAUCGAUAUCGAAGUUUCUAAACCCGUCGCAAAUCCGUCUCAUUCAGAAACACUAUAAAGAAUAUCAAGUAAGUCCACUUUCUUGGCUCUCUGUUUUUCAUCCUCAUCACAACAUUAUAUUCUCAUUGUUGGUUCCUUUGCCACUCACAGGAAAGUAGAAUCUUACGGUUUGAGUUGAUUCAACGACUGAGGACUAUAGCCGGAGAUAGGUUAUUGGUUCAAAUCAUCAAAUCUUUCGGACAAAAGGUACAUUGUAUCGUAGACACAUUUUCAAAACGUUAAUUCUUUUUUUUAUCAUACACAACUUCCACAAUGUUGGUUCUUUAAAAAUGUUUCAGGGACCGGAAGAAUCAAGACCAAUAAAUUUACAGUCGCAGCGUGGCUGUAUGCAUAUAUAGAGAAGUCGUUUGUUAGCUCUAUGUUGAUUAACAGAAUUUUGCUUUCUUAGUGUUGUAUGUAAAUAUGUUUCUGUAAAUCAAAAGACAAUAAUUCACAAUCUUGCUGACAAGUCAAUGCUGCUGAAACAUAUAACCUUAAGUGGAUAGAGUUACUUCCCAGCCUUGUGGAACUGGACCUUACUCAUUUAUGAUCUUUAAUCAUACUGUGAAAUGAACAUAGCAGUGUUAAAUAUUUGUUUUUAAUCACAAACUUCCUUCUAAUUUACAUCAUAAUUACGUAAAACACAAAUUUAAAUAAACACGCCUGUGAUUUUUUCGUAUAAAACUACAACAACGAAUCAGAAAAACCUGUAGAGCUUAGUCCAGUAAGUUAAGAACAGUGUGUUUGUGUCUGCGCGGGCGCAUUAUAUUUCAUUUCACAACGAAAAGCGUCUGGAAGAUGUGGAACCGCUUCUAACAAAGCUGGCAAACUCAGGAUCAAUCACAAUUCCCUGAACUUGUCUUCGGCCUCUCCUUCCCAACAAGUUUACUCCGCCAUGUCCUGGUGCCACCGGAUCUGUCACGGGAAUAUUUUCAGGAACUGGCAUCUCCGUGGAGUGUCCUGAGAUGCACAAUGAACCUGACUCGUCUUGUUGCCAAUACACUUCCACCAUGAUUCCUCGUGGAUUCUCUGCAGAUUCUGUUCCCGGUAUCCCAAUAAAUCUUGCCCCCACCGGUAUCUGUAGAUUGGAUUGGAUCGGAUCAGCUCGGGAGUUAUAUAAGUCUCUAUCUAUAGAUAUGAAUGCAUGAGAUGUAAGUUAUUUACCUCGACUGAUGAACCAGAUGUUAGAUCGAGAGUGACCAUUGUUCCAUCAACUGCAGCGCUUUCGAGUUCAGCUUUUCUUGCUAUGUUCAAAAAGACUUCUUCAAGAGUUGCGAGACCAAGCUGGAUAUCUGAAAUUCCAAAUUCUUCUUCUCUGUCUUGCAGCUCAGCGAAAAAGCCCUGUUUCGUUGUUACAAAAAAAAAAAAAAAAACAGAGAAGUUGUGAAAUCAGUUAAACUCUAUAUAUGAUAAGUUGUGUAAAUGCUUACUGUCAAAAGAUUCUCUUUGUCGUGUGGUAUAACAAAGGUCAUGAAGGCCUUGUUUUCUUCUAUUGGUUUGACUUUGAGAUGCUGCAAGAAAAAUAUCACAGUUCAGAGGGUGUUGGAUUAAUCUAACAGCAUUUGAAAAUGGAAACAGUAACCGGGUGCUAAAGCAGACUCACAUCUUUAAACAAUUUCUUCACUGGCUCGCGUGAAUCGACAGCACCAUUUUCCCCAUUGUGGUUAUUGCCAUUGUUUUCUUGGUUGUUGCUUUCGACGAAGCUAAUGUUAGCAAUGAAACCUGUGCCAAAGCGGGAUUUCAACCUGAUCGAUGUUCCAAUGCAGCGGAGCCUACCCUUAGCCACUAUCCCUAUUCGAUCACUUAAGAUAUCAGCUUCUUCCAUCGAAUGUGUCGUUAGUAUAAUGGCGCGGCCUUUCUUGGUUUCCUGUAUAAUAUCCCACACAUGUCUCCUCGUGAUCGGGUCCAUGCCAGUAGUCUGCAACCCAUGUAAGACAAGCACGCAUGUGUAAAGGAAGCGGAACUGAGAUAAAUAAACAUCAAUAGAAUAUAGAAAGUAACAAACCGGUUCGUCCAGGAAGACCAGCUUUGGAUCACCAAUGAGUGAAACUGCAACACUGAGUCGGCGUUUCAUUCCUCCACUGUAACUUCCUGCCCUGAUUUUCCCUGCUUCUGUCAGUUUUACCUCCGCAAGUGACUUCUCCACCAUCUGUAUGACGGCAAAAACACAUUUUAAAAACAAAAGAGGAAAAGUAAUCUUGAUUUGAAUUUGAAAAUACAUUUUAAGCAUCUAUUAUUAGCGGAAACUGUUAAAGAAACCAACCGACUCAUUUCUACCAUUUGGUGACAUACCGAGUUGAUCGAUGAAGGUGGCAGCCCUUUGAUGCUAGCAAAGAGUUUGAGGUGUUCUUCACCAGACAAAGAAUCCCAAAGAAUAUCAAACUGUGGAAUGGGAAUGUCAUAAAUCAUUUAAAGCAUAACAAAUGUCUGUAACUAAGGCAAAUGUCAGAAGAAGAUAGCAACAAAAAAAUGGCCCACCUGAGGACAAACUCCAAUCAUUUUACGGAUGUUGGACAUACCAACAGAGCUUCUUAUAGAAUUUCCAUAUAUUAGUGCUAUUAAAGCCAAUCAGAGAGAUUUUAGUAUGGUGAAAAUGCUUAAGACACUAGCUUCUAUGAAACAGAAACAAGAAUAAGUGCAACCUUCGUCUUACCAUCACCACCAGUAACUGGAAAUAAGCCUGUCAAACAAUUGAUAGUAGUUGUUUUUCCUGCGCCAUUGGGUCCAAGAAGACAGAAUAACUGAUCUUUGGCAAUAUUCAUCCACAACCCCUGAAUAAAUGAAACACGUAUCGCAGACGAAACCACAUGGAGAAAUAAUCAGUAAACUUUCAUCCAAGUCCUAGCUAUAGAUAGAUCUAUGGUAAGAUUGUCAUUUCUUGAACAUCUUUGGUAAAAACAGACUCUUUCAUGUUAAAUUGCAAUCAACAAACGUAAAAGGGUCAGUUUUUCACUUAUGUUUUCUUCAAAGAAAUACCUUCAGAGCAUGAAAAGGGGGAGUUUUCUUGCAUUUGCAGCAUCCAAAAUUCGUCGUCCCAGGAUAAGUCUUUGCAAGACCACGUAUUUGAACUGCAAUGUUGGGAUCAACUAAACCAUCCACUGAAUGUUGUUUAACUAAAGUUUCCUCUUCAAGGACAUCUUCGUCAUCUGGGGUAAUGUGAUCCACAGGUGGGACUGAACCAGUACAACUACAAAUUCCACCUUCUGUUCAGAGUAGAAACGUUUAAUUAGGAUCACAUUUUUGACACAAAAAUUACUAAUGAAUACAGAAACAAGACUGAGGAGAAAGUACCUUCUACUCGGUUUCCACCUUUACCGGUCCAGUAACCAGGUUUUAGAAAGUAAAAGAUAGAUUUCCUUACACCAGACGCAUUUGGAGUAAUAUUGUCGAAGUAAAGAGCCAAAACAAACCACAAAAAGAAUGUCCCAAGAAGCCACAAGUAGAUAUCAUUCUGCCAAAACCAAGUAAUGAUCAGAGAAAGAUUCAACAAAGUUAUUAGAUGGAACUUGUUUAGAGUGUUACGUACAAUUGUAAUCACACAAUCAAUGUCAUCGUUGGGUCCGCAUUCUGCUCUCUUACUCCAACUAAUACCAGGAUCUUGAGGAGUUGAAGUUGCAUCAGCAAGCAACUUUAGACCCUGAGAAAAGGUAUUGGGUGGGAACAGUGACCAAAGCGACCUGAUCCUGCGAGAAUACUUCUUGGCAUAGGGAAACCCAGUUGAUGUUGCAAGCUGCAGUUAUAUUUAUGAUUAGUAACAGUUCAUAAUUCUAAGAAACAAAUACCAUCUAUUUUUUUGCAUGAGAGCGGCACCUGUGUUACAAACCCAACCAGAAACACAAAGAAGCCGACAGUUGUUGCUGACGAUGAUUUGCUGAUAAAAGCUGAUAGCAUGAAUGCUAGUCCAAUCUAGCAGCACAAACAAUGAAGAUAAUAAUUUGACUGAUGUGCCAAAAGAGGUAAAAAAAAAUAGUUUUAGAAAGAGAGUUUUACCAGAUUAAACUGGAAAAGCAUGAAAAGUAGGAAGACAACAGGGAAACUGUUCUUCAAGAAGAAGUCGAAUUGGAACAUCAUUCCAAAGAGAACUGUCAAAAGCGCUGAUAUGGCAGUAAGAAUUCCUUCCCAGGUAAGCCAUGACAACCAAUAAGCAGUGUCAAAAACACCCAUCAUCGUCAUUGCCUGUUGCAAAACAAAGGAUCAAUGUACUAUAUAUACAUUGGUAACAGCCUACAUAGAAACAACGUUAUACCUGGCGAAGUUUGAGCUCUUUCUCAGUGAUCAGAGAACUAAUCUGAAGAACAAAACCAAACAUCGCAACAGCAAGGAAAAAAGUCGGUCCUAUAGUGUCCAACGCAACAAUAGCUUCGAUAGUUGGGUGCGGAAACUCCUUAAACCCAACAACCCAGUUAAAGUUUGGAUCUGCAAAACAAAAUAACAACUUCCCAAUGUCAAAAAAUAAACACUUGAUAUCAUAAACACAAAGAUUCAUCAAGAUAUGCAUUACCUCCUAUUAAAGACCUCGCGAUUUCACGCUCAGCCGCAAUUUGAAGCGGUAUCUGAAACUUGAAAGUGGGAUCUUCAAAUCUUCCUCUAUUCAUCUCUGGUGUUGAAUUAGUUUGAAUACCAUAACUAAUUACUGUAGCAUUUCUUUCCACAAAGUGCAAAGCUCCUGGAACUAGCAACGGGUUCGCCAUAAGCCACGUAUCUACCGCUUCAGGAUCCACGAAUGAUCGUACCUUAACAGACAAACAAACAAACAAAAUUACAAUUUGCAUAUUUAACUUCCACUUUAAUUCUCAAAACUGUAACCUAACAAUUUGGUUCUCUAUAUCUAUGACAUCACUAAAAUUUCAUUAACAUAACAAUCAAAAACUACUCUAAUUUCUCCUGAAGAAUGCUUAAUUACACAAUUUCAAGAUUACAAUACCUUCUCGGUAGGAAUUGGUCUUCCAGGAUUAUUCUUCAUAAUCGCAUUAACAAUCUGAGUCACCUUGGGGCUACGAUUUCCGCUCCAAACAAAGUCAUAGCACGGAAGAUUCACGAAGAACUUAUCUUCGCAAGGCGGAAUCGGCGGCGAAAUCAACGCCGUCGGAUCCGUAACAGUUUUAAGAGCCGUGGAAGACGCAAAGCUCUUCUCCAUAGCUUCUUGGAUACAGAAGAUGAGGAGGAUGAAGAAGAAAGAAGCGAAGAGCUGAAGAAACGUGGCUCGUUUGCUUCGCCAUGAAAGAAGAAGGUUUUUCUUGAACAACGCCGUGUACUGUUGCAAGAGAAGAGGCAAACCUCUCUGCAAUGUCAUGGCCUGAGACGUUUUUUCGAAUUUUUGGGAAUCUUACUGUGAUCUGAAUUUUUGAUUGGAGGGGACGAUUUAAGGGAGUCGUAAGAUUUUGUUUAUAUUUAUGACCCUGGAGUUGUCAGGUAAUUACGAAUUUGCCACUCAUGUUUGCCUGCGAAUAAGCCGGGACAUAAUACCCGAACCCGACCCAAAAAAUCCGAUCCGAACCCGAAGUUUUAAAAUAUCCGAACGGAUUCUAAAAUUCACAACCCAAAAAUCCAAACCCAAACCCGACCCGAAUCUGAAGCCGAACAAGUACCCAAACAUACCUAAAAUAUAAGUACAUAGUUAUAAUAUAUUAGUAAUAUUUAUAUUUGUAAUAACUUAACUACCUAAAUUAUUCGGAUGUUAAGAUAUUUUCAGGUGUUUUAGGCUUUUAGCUACUUUGGGCUAGAUAGAUACUUGAGUUUUAUAGAUUUUUUUGAGUAUUUUUCAAUACUUUGCAUAGAAUCGGAUACAAAAUUUCUAAUAUUUGGAUACUACGGAUAAAUCCGAAUCCGAACCCGAAAUACCCGACCCGAACCCGAUCCGAAACCAAAGUUUUAAAAUAUCCGAACGGGUCUUAGUUUUCUAAACCUGGAAAACCCCAACCCAAAAAACCCGACCCCGAAAAACCCGAUCCAAAUAUCCGAACGCUCAGGCCUACCUGCGAAACUACUUUGAAAAAACGUAACUUCAGGACAAAACAGUGUAAUAAUAAAUUAAUAGUUGCAAAUUAUUUAUAAGUAAGAAAAAGAAUAAUGUAUUAUCAAAUUGGAAAAAAGAGAAGAAUUAUAUAUUUACUUUCUACCAGGAAAAGUAUGACUUUUAUGCUUUGACUGUUAGCAAUUAGAAAUUCUAUUAAACUAUCAGAUAUUUUAAAAAAUUAUUAUAUUUUAACAUAUCAAAAUUAAAAAUAUAUAUUGUAGAAAUAUCUUAGAUAGAUGCAGUAAUUGUUGAUAUUCAACACUAAUUUAAAAUUUGGCUUAGUAAAUUUCGCCGAGAAAAAUAAUGAAAGUGUGACAUUGAUUGAUAUAAUAAUGAAUAAUCCUUGGAACAGUCCAACAAGCUAGCCAUGUUCAAACUUCCGAAUCAUUUAAUUUGAAGGUCAAAGAAUGUGUUGAUAUAUUUUGUCAACAAGAGAUCUAUUUUUUAAUGUGUACUUUUCUGUGUACUAUUUAAAAUAUGUUAUAUAUAUAUAUAUAUAUCUUUAUUUAUUUAUGUUGUAGUUUCUUCUAUGUCAGUUUCGUAACAAAAAAAAAAAAUCAUUUAGCAGAAAAAAAAUCUUUAUCAAAAAAGAAAAAAUAUAAAAAUGAAGACAUUUUUUUUUUUGUGGACAAAAUAAAACUCGCUCAUUUAUAAAAUAUAGUUAUAAAUUUUCUUCUUUUGUUUGGGAAAAAUAGACAAUGUCAAUUUAUUCAAAGAACACUUUGAGUCUUCAACAAGUUGAUGGUAUUAAGCUAAAACUAUAUCAUAAAAAUUAGUAAACCCAAAACCCCGCGUUAGUCGUCUACUAAAAAGGGAAUUCCAACUAUAUCAUAUAUUUUUAUAUUAUUUUUGUCGGACCAUGCGUUACUUGUUGUUCAAGUUACCCUCACAUAGCCAUAGGAUCAGUGCCGGCCCGGAGGACAUGCCACCCAAGCCACCGCUUGGGGCACCACUUUUUUUUUUUUUUUUUUUAAGGUUUUUCUUUUUUUUUUGGAAAAAAGGCCCAAUUUUAGAAAAAAAAAAAAAAGAAUUAAGCCCAUAAAAUGAAAAUAUUUGGUAGAAACUAAAGCCUUUUCGAAAAAAAUAAAUAAAAUAGGGCCCAAACAAUUAAAUUUAAAUGUAAUAAUAUUCAAAAUAUCAUUAUUUUGUAUAAUUUACUAAAAAUAGAUCAAAAAAAAUUUUUAACCCUAAAACUUAUAAAUAUAUUGGGCCUCAUUUUAUUUUUCGUGUAGGGCCUCACAAAUGCUCGGACCGACACUGCAUAGGAUUAGCCGAUUAGGAACUUAGGACGGAUUUGGUAAAGUUUGUUUUUGUUAUGUUAACUAGGAUUUGGUAGAUUUUUUGAAUUAUACCAAUGGUACCCUCACGUAAUACCUAGCUAUAAUAUAUUAGUAAUGAUAUCUUUUAUUUGUAAAUAUCAAAAAGAUAAUUUAAACCCGCUUGUUGGCAAAUCGAAAGAUCGUGAGGAUCACUCAUUCGCAGUUCCUUUUGAAUUUAUAUUGAAGUCCAAUGUUUAUUUAUUUUCACAUAUAUAAUUUUAUAUUCUAUUUUACUAAAAAUGUUCAAAUUUAACAAACUAUUUGUAUACUAAAAAUUCUUAUUGUAAGAAAAAUGAAACAUUAUUAUAAUAAAUUUAUAUAAUCACUACAUUUUAAAAAUUUUCAUUAUUAUUUUCCUAAUUAAUCAUCGUAUUGUCUCUUAUAAUCUAGUGCAAUUUCGCAAUAAAAAUGCAGUCUUAGGUAGGAUAUAAUGCUAAAUGGCUUAUAAGUCCGAUGAAAGACCAAAACAAUAUAAUAACAUUCGCAAUGAAAGCUUUUGGUGCUGGUUAGAAUAGAAGACUGAAAUAAAAUUAAGAGAAGCUACCAAGCUUCAUCAAUGGCGGAUUCUGGUCCAGCCAGCUUCUUGACGCGUGCCAAUGCUAUACUUAGAAAAAAUUUAACUUAUCAGGUUUGGUGUUAAUUUUUCGUUUCCCAUAGUUAAUUCAUAAUUACAUAACCAUACUUUCAAAGUACAUAAUCUGUUUCAAAUGUCAACAUCUAUUGAUUUCCAUAUACAUGCGUCUACUAGUAGUAUAUCUGAUCAAUCUUGGUACUCUGUUUUCAAAAUUUCUACAUCAAACCGAUGUUUUCGCUUGUUCUUUGGUGGUUUUGUAGAAACGGAACAUAUGGAGCAAUGUUCGACUUAUUAUUAUCCCUUUCUACCUCUGCAUAGUUCUUGUUUUUGUUCAAGGUCUAUUCGAUUCACAAGUCAAUAACUCUGUAGAUAACCAAUGUGGUUGUCAAUGCAUUGACAAACUCGGAGACGGAAAAUGCGAAAUGAUUUGUGGUUUAGAAUACUCGACUCGGGAUCAAGGAGUCUUUUGUGCUAUCCCAAAACCACAACCAUGGCCUCCUUUGAUUCUAAUUCCGCGUUCUCACGCUCGUGCUGUUGAUUCCAGUUUCACUGACGAAUCGUGCAGACGAAAAAAUUCUUGUCCUGUAACUAUACUUUUCACUGGGAAUAAUCAAUCUCUUGGAGAAAGUAGGCUAGCUUGUGAAUGUGUCCUUCUUUUCUUCUUUAGGCUUAUUUUACAUUGUUUUCAUUGGCACUAAUGUACUUCAUGCUUUCUCCAGCUUUAUCUAGAAAUCUUCUAAGGAGAUCUUUUACAAUGACCUCCUCUGACCUCUUGUUUAGUUUAGCUAAUAAUGUCUUGGUAAGUUCUUUUCUGGUUUAUUUGUUGAAAAUUCUGUUUAUGAAUCUGAAUGUCUUUGCUUUUUUUUUUUACUUUGAGCUCAUGCAUGUUUCAGGCUACAACAUUAAAGGCAAGUGCAACCAAUUAUCUUGAUUCAGGGAUUGUUUCAAAUCUUAGCAUUUACACCAUCCAAUCUCGGUGCCCUCCAAACUCGAACUUUUCAUUCUCUCUCGGACAAUCACCUCUCAAUUUUACGAAAGGUAUAAAGUCUCUGAUCACAUUCUUUUCUAGGCUUAUCUCAAGUUUGUUAACCAACAUUUGGUUCAACUUAUAUAUUGUCUUUAGUAAUAAAAGUUAUCAUCUAGAGAAAUACUCUUGUAGUGGAUUUAUGUAAUCUUUUUGUUGAAACCAGAGAUGAGAUGUGUUCAAGGAUUGAAUCUUUGGAGAAACAGCUCCGUAGAGGUCAAUCAUGAGAUUUUCAAAGGUUAUAAGGAAGGGAAUUCUGAUGGGAAAAUAAGUGAGAUUGUUGCAGGUUGUAAUUUGAAUUCUCUGUCUUUUAUCUUUAGUAUUCACAUGAGACUUCUGAAUGUUUAUGCUCUGUUUUUCUUUUCUCUUUUGCCUUAGCAUACGAUCUCUUGGACACUGAUAGGACUAACUUCAAUGUGAAUAUAUGGUACAAUGCAACGUACAAAGGUGAAGAAGGAAAUCAGCGUUAUAAGUUGGUCCGAGUUCCCCGCUUAGUCAAUUUGGUAAGGAACUAAGUGUAGUACGAAAAUUCGAUAUAGGACUAGUUUCAAGAAUGUAGAAAUUCUCAAACUCUGCAUAACUGCAGGUGUCAAAUGCUUAUCUUCAGUAUUUGCAAGGCCCUGGGACAAAGAUGUUAUUUGAGUUUGUUAAAGAAAUGCCUAAGCAAGAAACUAAACUUCGUAUAGACAUUGCAUCUCUAAUUGGUCCAUUAUUCUUCACAUGGGUUAUUCUUCUUCUGCUACCUGUAAGUUUAUUUGACAUAUAGUUGGCAAAUUGCAUUCUCAAAAGCCUAUCAAGCAUUAGACGCAGGCCAUUCAUGAUUACAUGCAUUUAUAUGCAGGUGAUAUUAAACUCAUUGGUGUAUGAGAAGCAGCAACAUCUAAGAAUUAUAAUGAAAAUGCAUGGCCUAGGAGAUGGCCCUUAUUGGGUGAUUUCCUACGUCUAUUUUCUCGCCCUAUCCACGUUAUACAUUAUAUGCUUGAUGAUAUUUGGGUCAGCAAUAGGUACUGAAUCAUUGCUAUUACUUAUAGAACAAGUUACCUUCUCUGGGGUUAUUAUAGCAGCUAUAUUUCCUUGCAGGACUAAAGUUCUUCCUGUUUAAUGACUAUAGCUUCCAGUUCGGUUUCUAUUUUCUCUUCAUAAAUCUGCAAAUCUCCAUAGCCUUUCUAGUUUCCUCAGCAUUUUCAAAGGUCGAGACAGCAUCAGGUACUAACUUAAGUCACACGUUAACUAAAUGUACUCAAGGUUAACAUGAUGUUGUUAACUAAAAGAAACACUUUCUGUUUUAUGUCCCAAUUUUAGUUGUUGCUUACCUAUACGUGUUUGGAUCUGGGCUCUUGGGCGGGUUCCUCUUCCGGUUUAUGUUGGAAGGUUCAUCGUUUCCUAGUAAGUUAUCAAGAUGACCUUGAAGAAACAGUAUCCUCGUAAUUUAUUCUCGAAACUGGCUCCAAUGCUAAUAUAUAAUGUUUACUUUUCCCCAGGAAGCUGGAUUUUUGUCAUGGAGUUGUAUCCCGGCUUCUCCUUAUACCGCGGGUUGUAUGAGUUCGCCCAGAAUGCUUAUCAAGGAAGCUUGAAUGGGAAAGAUGAGAUGAAGUGGAAAUAUUUUAGUGAUAGUGAAAUGGAUGAAGUUUCCUACAUCAUUAUCGUUGAGUGGUUUGUUGCACUCAUUGCAGCAUACUAUAUCGAUAAGAUAUCUUCAUCGGGGAACAACCCUUUGUUUUUCUUGAAAAACAAUAACCCUUUCAAGAAAUAUCCUUCUCUACAAAAGCCUAGCUUGCAAAAACAGGUCUCAGCAGUUUCUGUAGAAAUGGAGAAACUAGAUGUCAUUCAGGAGGUAUUGCAAAAGUAUUUUUACAUGAUCUUAUUCCAUGUUCUUUGUGUGUUUUUUUUUUCAGCUGUUUUGAAUUAUAUGUAUACAUAUUUUGUUCUAAUCAGAGUGAAAAAGUUGAGCAAAUGAUGCUUGAGUCAAGCACAAGCCAUGCAAUUGUAUGUGAUAAGCUAAGGAAGGUGUAUCCUGGUAGGGAUGGGAACCCGCCAAAAAAGGCAGUUCGAGGGUUAUCUCUCACUGUGCCUUCAGGAGAGUGCUUUGGCAUGUUAGGGCCCAAUGGUGCUGGCAAGACUACUUUCAUCAAUAUUGUCAGUCCAUAAAAAAUUGUGCUUUCAAUUGAGCUUAGGUUAUGAUUGAAAAACACCCCUUGAAUAAUACAAGUUGUGUCGUAUUUUUUUCUGGUCAGAUGACUGGGCUUGUGAAACCAACAUCUGGAGCAGCUUUUGUUCAAGGUUUUGAUAUAUGCAAGGAUAUGGACAAAGUCUACACUAGCAUGGGUGUAUGCCCGCAACACGAGUAAUCAAGUUCUUAGAAACAUUUUGUUUUGUUUAAUUAUACAAAAGACCAUUUAGUUGUUUAUUAUUCUCAUUCUCUGUUUUUUUUAUACCACUAGCUUGCUAUGGGAAACACUGACAGGAAGGGAACAUCUGCUGUUUUACGGGAGACUUAAGAAUCUCAAAGGCUCUGAUCUCAACCAAGUAUGUUAUCAAUUUCACUUCCAUUCAAUAUAUUACUUCAAAAGUUAUCAAAAUAAUGUCACUUUCAUGGUUGCUCAUUCUAUUUCUCAUCGUUACUUACCUUGCAUUAGGCUGUGGAAGAGUCUCUUAAGAGUGCCAACCUUCUCCACGGAGGAAUUGCGGACAAACCUGCUGGGAAAUAUAGUGGGGGUAUGAAAAGGCGGCUCAGCGUAGCCAUUUCACUUAUCGGGAAUCCUAAGGUAUACCAUUAAUGUCUGAGAAUAUUGUUGCUUUAACCCAUGGCCUUUAAAAAAAGGACACCUAGAGAGUUAGGCUCUUUCAAGCCUAAAAAACUCGUCCUCAUUAUAUAUUUGAAGGUGGUUUAUAUGGAUGAGCCAAGCACAGGACUUGAUCCAUCCUCGAGAAAGAACCUGUGGACUGUCAUCAAGCACGCAAAAAAAAACACUGCGAUAAUCCUCACUACUCAUUCAAUGGAAGAAGCAGAGUUUCUCUGCGACCGACUGGGAAUUUUUGUUGAUGGAAGGUUACAAUGCAUAGGGAACCCAAAAGAGCUUAAGGGAAGGUAUGGUGGAUUUUAUGUGUUGACGAUGACAACAACAUCAGAACAUGAGAAAGAUGUGGAGGUGUUGGUUCGAGAUGUUUCUCCAAAUGCCAAGAAGAUAUAUCACAUAGCAGGGACACAGAAAUUUGAGAUCCCAAAAGACGAAGUUCGGAUCUCGGAAGUGUUUCAGGCGGUAGAGAAGGCGAAGAGCAAUUUCAAGGUGUUUGCUUGGGGUCUAGCAGACACAACUCUGGAAGAUGUUUUCAUUAAGGUUGCUAGAACUGCUCAAGCCUUUAAUGUCUUCUCUUGAAUCUUCUUAAAAUCAUCUUCUUCUUUUCUUUUCUUUUUCUCUUUAAUGUCAAUAUUUGUUUGAUAAAUUUGGGCAUGCAGAUAUUUGAUUAAUGUACAUUACUAGAAGAAAUCGGCUGAAAGUUUGUGAAAUUCUCUGAGGUUAUUAUAUGUUGCUUGUUUGUGGAUGAUUCAUGUUAAAAUUUUUUUUUUUGUAAACUAUGGUUAUAUAAAUUUUAGCUGAUAUGUGAAUGAUGAUGUUGAUACAAAAGUUGGCGUGGCUAUUGUUUUGGUAUAAAUAGGGGACUUCUCUGUUUGGGUACCAAAACAGGAUUCUGUACUUUUGAUUUGAUGCGAAAAAGAGAUUUUGCAGUUUUUAUGGUAUUAUGCAAAUCUCCAAUUACGGCACAAACUCAUGAGUUUUCUAUUUUCACGUAAAAUAAUGAAUUUACAUAAAAUAUGAAAUUUUUUUAUUCAGAAUAAUUAGUAGUUUUGGUGUUUUAAUUUAUGAGUUUUGUAAAGAUAGUUUGGUCUUUUAUUAUGUUAAGGUACAAAUUUUACAUCCAAACUGAGUAUAUUUUUUUACAUUCAUUAUUUUGAUGCAAAUGCAAUUGAUUUUGGAUAAGAAACGCAACAUCCAAAUGCAUAAAUCAAAUUGAUUUAAUUGAACAAUAUUUUGGCCAUGAUUUCAUACUAUAAUAGGAGCUGGGUAUUAAAUUAUACGAAAGGGAGAUUUAUAAAAAUAGGCACUUUUUAGGAGAGAGAUUCGGAAUUAGGCAUUACUAUAGAGAAAGGCACCACAGUACACACAAACAUCACUAUUUCUGACUCUUUUACCCCUGACUGGUGGACGAGAGUUUGAGUUGUGGUUGAAGGGAUUUUGGGCAUGACGUCAGAGGAGAGAAAGUGUUCUCCUAAGCCGAACAGUGAUCACGACGACAUCUCUGUGUCUUCUAUUCUGCUUUGUUAAAAACAUAAACAACUGAAAGAUUUCGUCGGAACUAGAUUUACGAAAACGGAGUUUAUUUUAACUCGGGUUAAAACUAACAACGAUGGCAUUCUUAGUGGUGGUGGAGAAGAUGUGAUGCAAUUAUCGACGACCGAAUCGAAGAAAGAAGAAUGAUAAUCUCUUUAUCGAUGAAGAUAUGAGAGGUAUGGGGAAGAACGCUUCUUGGAGUGUUCGCUCUUGCAAGCUCGGCUAUGGCGUCCCUUCUCUCCGUGGCUACAACUUGAAGACUCAUUUUUCCCUUUUUCUGGAUGUACAUCAAAUUGUCUGCAUCCACUCUGGGUUAACAUUCAAUUCCAGAAGACUAUAUCAAAGGGCAACAUCAUUAAGACAUAGUAAGUGUUCAAAGCUAAACCCUACAACCAAUGUAGAUGACUAAACCCAAGGGCAAUAUAUCUAACAGCUAGUGAGUGUUCAAAACUAAACCCUACAAGCAAUAGAGAAAACUAAACCCAAGAGAAACAAAUUUUACAGCGAGUUAGUGUUGAAGACUAUUUUUACUCAUUGAAACAUUUCAUCAAACACAUGAUAGGCAAUAACAGAUAUAAUCAUCAUCUAUCCAAAAAAAUAAAUCCAAACAAGAUCAGGUACACAAACCAACAUGAUUUUCAUUAAACUGAAUAUUAUCCUUCCAAAUUGAUACGAAAUUGAAAAAUCAAGCAAACAAAUUUAAAAUUGAAGCCAAACAUAGUACUAAAAAGACAGAGAACGAAAGAUACUCUCAAUUAAGAACUUCUUUUUCGUAUGAGCCAUUCGUUGCAAUCGGUGAAGCUCGCUCCGGUUCUGAUCGCCCCCAAUAAACGUUUCCAAUGUCACCCCUCUAAGCUAAUUCAUCAGCUUGAAAUCUUUAACCUCCAGACGCUCUAACCCGAGAUCGAAUCUUCUGAAGUGCGACCCAUCGCAUGUUGAUGCUGGCUAUGUGCGUGUCUUAAGCCCCGUCGCUUAAACUCGAUCUGAUGUCGUCUGAAGUGUGAUCAGCAGAAGUUUUGGCGUAGUAAAACAGUUUCCAAGUUUGCGUUUUCAAAUGGAGGAGAGAAGAAGAAGAAACAAUGACGUCAACCAUAGAAGGGCAAAAGCGUCAUUGUGGAUACUAAGAAUGCCUAAAUCCGAAAGGCAUUUGACAAAGUGCCUAUAUCCGAAAGUCAUUCUAAGAUUAAUGACUUUUUUUUUAAAUAACUCUAUACGAAAAUUAGACUGAUGGGACAGUAUCUUCAAGCAAAGAUAGGAUUGAGUUUCAGGGUGUUUGCUUGGGGACUUGCCGACACAACUCUUGAAGUCGUUUUCAUUUUAAGGUUGGGCUAGAACUUCUCAAACCCAUUGUCUUUUCUUAAAUCUUCUUAACAUUAUCAUUUUUGUCUUUUCAACGUCAAUAUUUGCUUCUUUAUGUUUAAUAAUAUUGGUCAUGUACAUUACUGGAAUUGGCUGCAAGCUAAGUAUGUGAGUUGUAAUUUCUAAGGUUUUUACCACUUGUUUGUUUGUGGAUGAUUUAUAUAAAACAAAACAUUUACAUAAGUGUGGGCUAUAAAUUUGUGAAUGAUGAUGUUUGUACAUUAGAAAAAAGAUGAUGCCUAUGCAAGAAAAUGGACUUGUCUGGUAUGUCGGAUUAUUAGCUGAAUAGCGGAAUAACUGAAUUAUAAAAUUAUAAAAUAGAAGAAUCAAUAGGACGACAAUUUUAAACAGUACAUAAAUGACUUUUUUAGAAACGCCUAAAACUACUAUGUAGUAGAUGAAUAGACUUUCUCAAAUUUAAUUAUAAUUUUAAAGCGUGUGGAAUAAACUGAAAAAUCACUUGUUGAUUUUCACUUUUUAUAAUUCAACACAAGUUUUUGUGAAUGGUAUGUAUUCAGCAGAAUCACGUUAUCACGUUUGAAAUGUGAAAAUGUGGUAUACCAUUCAAGCCCAAUAUUUUUCUUCUUUUUGCAUUAUUAGUGGCUUAGUGCCAACAAAAUUUUAGAGUUUUGUAAACUAUGGUUAUAUAAAUUUUAGCUGAUAUGUGAAUGAUGAUGUUGAUACAAAAGUUGGCGUGGCUAUUGUUUUGGUAUAAAUAGGGGACUUCUCUGUUUGGGUACCAAAACAGGAUUCUGUACUUUUGAUUUGAUGCGAAAAAGAGAUUUUGCAGUUUUUAUGGUAUUAUGCAAAUCUCCAAUUACGGCACAAACUCAUGAGUUUUCUAUUUUCACGUAAAAUAAUGAAUUUACAUAAAAUAUGAAAUUUUUUUAUUCAGAAUAAUUAGUAGUUUUGGUGUUUUAUGAGUUUUGUAAAGAUAGUUUGGUCUUUUAUUAUGUUAAGGUACAAAUUUUACAUCCAAACUGAGUAUAUUUUUUUACAUUCAUUAUUUUGAUGCAAAUGCAAUUGAUUUUGGAUAAGAAACGCAAUUUCGAUGCUGAAAAAAUAUUACAUAUUGAUGGUAAAACGUGAUCCAGCAGUUACGGCUUAAACUCGUGAGUUGUCUAUUUUUGACGUAAGAUGAUGAAUUUACAUAAAAUAUGACAUGUGAUUCAAGCAACGAAAAUAUAUAAGUAUUUCUUAGUCACAACAAUGUUUUACUUUGAACACUUAACGUUAGAGAUCCACAUGCCUAACGAUAAGUCAAUGAAAUUCCCGACAAUAUGUUUUAGAUUCGUGAGAUAUUUAUUUUCUACCCUACUUGACCACGCGCCUCAUAAGUCAUAAUAUUAUCCACGAUUUCCCCAUAAAUCUUACAACAUGUUAUAAAUUCUUCUUUGUAAUUAUAAUCAUAAUAAGCUGUCAAAACAAAAAAAAAAAUAAUAAUCUAUAUAUAAUAACAAUCUCAAUAAAUGUCUUUUAUAUUUCUGAACGGUUGUGUUUUUUUUUAUCAUAAUUUUUCGUUAAAAUAUUAACGGUUACUUUUUUUGUUGACGGUUAUUUUUUAAUUGUGUUUUUUUUUAAUCGCGAUUUUCCGUUAAAAUAUUGGCAGUUAUUAUUUUUUUUGUGUCUUUUUAUCAUAACUUUCCAUUAAAAUAUUAACGGUUAUUUUUUCUCGGUUGCGUCUUUUUAUUGCAAAUUUUCGUUAAAACAUUGACGUUUAUUUUUCUCGGUUUGAACUAUAUAGUAGUUCCUAAUUUUUUGUUCUUUAACAUAGAUUAUUUGUUUUAUGAUGAAUCCAAAAAAAAUAAUCUGUAAAAAUUGGCUCUAAAUUCUUUAUUCUCUAAACUAUUUUAAACAUACAUUAUUUUAAUAUUAAAAAUUUCUUUUUAUUUUUCAUCUAACCAAAGUUUUUUGGAAUGAUUAUAAAAAUGCAGAAAUGUUAAUCAACUUUAAAUAUAAAACUUUGAUGAAGAUACCAACAAUUUUUUUUAAGAAUUGGACGGAUUCUACAGAGAAUUUUUUUAUAUAACUAUUUUAUAUGGUAACAAUAAGGAUUUCUAUCUUAAGGCAAUAUAUAUGAGUUGUAUACAACAAAAUAUUGAUGCUGCAUUAACAGUAUUACAAAGUCUGAAUAGAGAAGACAUCCUCAUGUGACGCUUGUGAUUGAACGUUUUAAAUAUGGUAAGCGUCAAAUGAACUGUUUUAUAAAUCAAUAUCUCCAUUAUUAGGAAAAAGACAAUGAUUACAAUUCGUCACAUGAAUAUUCAAAGAAGAAGUUUUUUUACUCAGUUAAUUUAUCAAUAUAACUAUAAAUUUAUGAGAUCCUGUAAAUGUUUAUUUGUUUAUUAUAGAUGUAAUUUACGUCAUCAAAUUUUAUAUUUUCUUGAAUAUAUAUAAUAGAAUAAAUAUAAAUUUUAUAUUUAAAAACAGUGGGCAAACAAAAAGUGCCCAUUUUUGGAAGAAGUUCUUAGUCACCCACAAGUCGUACUGAAUACUGACUCCACCGAAUUUUUGGGUUUUGAUAUUAUAACUCUUCGUUAUGUAUUUUGUCACUUAUAAAUAAUUUACAUUCAUAAAAAGUGUUUCAAGAAAUCUUUUUAAUCAUAAUUUUUUUUUUUACAUUUUUACUCACUAAUUGUUUUAACAUCUUUGAAAAAUAUUUAUGAUAUAACUUUAAAACACAAUUAAUUUUAUGUAAUAAUUCAAAUAUUUGAAUAAUCUAAUACAUAAACACAAUCAAAUAUAUUUUUGUAAAUUAAUAGAUAAAUACAAAAAUUUGUUAAAAAUAAGUUCCCCGCGAUAUCGCGAGAGUUCAUAACUUUAGUAAUAAUAAUAAUAAAAAAAAAAAAACUCAUUCUACACCAUAAUUAAUGGCCUCAACCAGAAAUUUAUUGCUCGUUUUCUUGACAACUUCCUGAAAAUAAAUAAAGUUCUUCGUUUGUGGACAUUAUAAGUAACAGAACAUAUAUAGUUAAUGCCGUAAUGGCCCAUCCACAUAUAAAAUUCGCAAGUGGAAAUUAAAGCUAAGUGUGUCACAUGCAUGGAUCUUACUUUGAAUUCAUCAGGAAUCAAUGUGACCAAAUCUAAAAACAAACAGAAGAAAAAGACAAAAUCAAGAUUGCAGAAGCUUCAUCAAUGGCGAACCAUGUUCCCGCAAGUUUCUUGACCCGGGCCAAUGCCUUGUUCAGAAAAAACUUAACCUAUCAGGUUUGGCCAAACUUUUACAUGUGUUAGUUAUCUACUUGAUACAAAAUCCAUUGAUGUUACUAGUGAGAAUGACGUAGCUAUAUCGAUUGAUGUAGAAACGGAACAUGUGGAGCAAUGUUCGGCUCAUUGUGAUCCCUUUCUACCUAUGCGUACUUCUAGUGGGGAUUCAAGUCCUGUUUGAUACACAAGUUAAUAACUCUGCUGAUAAUCGUUGUGGUUGUCGAUGCAUCCACAAAAAUGGAGAUGGAAAAUGCGAAAGACAGAGUUGUGGUUUACAAUAUUCAUCUCAAACUCAAGCCUCAUUUUGUGCCUUUCCCAACCCUCCACCAUUGCUCCCGUUGUUACAAAUUCCGCGUCCUGAAUCUCGUUCAGUUGAUCAUACCCGUGGCUCGUGCAGACGGACCGGAUCUUGUCCUGUAACUAUACUUGUUACUGGGAAUAACCAUACCCUUGGAGCAAGUAUGUCUCUUAAUUACUUCAUUCUUCCUCUCUUAACUCUAAACCAAUUGAUAAUGAAUGGACUAGUCAAUGUAAAUUCCUAUAUGGAAUCCUAACAGUCAGUGGCGGAUCCAAAAAUUUAAUUUACGUGUAAGUGCGGAUGAGGUAAGAUAAAUUGUAGAAAGUAAACGAGACAAGAAAUUUGUUAACGAGGUUCGGUUUUUCCUACUCCCCGGGACCACGUCCAGAUUUCGAUUCCACUAGAACAAGAAAGCAAAUUACAAACAAUUCGCAAACGCGUAAAACAAGCCCAACCCUCUUGAUUUACCGCUCCCUUCUAUAACGUGAAACCUUAAGGAUAAUCUCUACCCUUAACUAAACUCCCCUUGAGUCUAGAUUUAAUCAGGAUAACCUAACCCUGAGCUAAACUCCCCUUGAGCCUAGACUUCAAAACAAAACCACUUGAUCACACAAGCACAAAACCCGCAAAACUAAGUUGCACAAAACCGCGAAACUAUGUCGCACACACCCUCUGAAAGCUCUCAAUGAUUUGCCUCUAUGCCUCAGCUCUCUUACUUCUCCAAGACGUCCUCCACUCCUCCUUAUAUAGCCAAAACGAUUUCCUAAUCACCAUAGGAGAAGAUUUCCAAUUUCCAUAAGAAAAAGUAAAUUUCCUUUUAUACUUUUCCUUUUUCUCACCAAACUCCACUUUCAUCAAGUCUUCCAAAUCUCUUUAAGUCCUUUUUCCUUUGUGAUUCAUCCUCUAAACACGCUCCAAACAUAUCUUCUCAAACCUUCUAGAAACCGACACUAACACAAAAACAGUCGCAUCUUGACUUACUUCUUGAAUCAUUCAGCAACUCCAUCAGACAAACUCUUGUAUUACUUCUUGACUCAUUCAACAACUUAAUCAGACUGCAGCUACAUCUUCAUUCUCCCCCUUUUUGACUAUGUUUGUGAACUCAACAGUUCUAACUCCAAAACAACAUCACGAAACACAUCAUCAUUCUCCCCCUGAAUGAGUCACAACAUGGUCAAAACUACUUAGAAAAUUCUCCCCGCUUUGCAAUACGAGGUUGAUAGCCUAGUACACCACCUCCAUAGAAAUCAUCUUUCCUAACCCAAAUCUUCCUGCGCCUUAAGCCUUCAUGACUGGAUUCUCGAAUGAAUCUGAAACAAUUCCUCUUAAUAUGCCCUUGAACUCCACAAUGAUAACAUGUAGGACCAUGAAAUCUCUAAUCAUAAGCAUUCUCCAUUCGAUUUCUCUCCCUCAACAAUCUGAAACACCUUGGCCUAAUAUGCCCAACAAUACCACAAUGAUGGCAAACAGGUCGAAAAACUCGUCGAGGUGCACUCUGCAGUUCUUUAACUUUUCCUGUAUCAGACUCUAUACCAGUUCUCGUAGUAGUUCUUGUACCGGAUGCAGUCUCUGCCAUAGUUGCAGUUUCUGACACACUUCCUGAUCCAGACGUGAUUUUUCCACCAUAAACAAACACUGGAUCCGAUUUUGAAAGUUUUCCUUCAAAUCCAAGGCCACACUUAUCAAUCUUGCCAAUAUUCAGAAUAUGAUCCAACUUCUUUGUGCCAUUAUUAAGCAUCCUCAAAUUCUUUUGAGUUUCUUCAAGUUGUACUUUGGCUUGUGAUGCUUCUUCUUCUUUUUCUGCAGCAUAUUUCUGUACUUCAAUGACUUUAGCCUCUAACUUGAGUUUCUCCUUAGUUAACACUGAAUUCUCUUCAACCAUUUCAAGCCAAUGCUCACAUAAGGCUCUAUAAUUCUCAGCAAAUUCUUCAUCAUCAACAAUCUCUGCAUCACUAUCACAUUCAUCGUUUUCACUUUUAAUUGCAGGUCCUGUUGCAGAUGCUGAUGCAGACCCUGUUGCAGAUGCUGAUGCAGACCCUGUUGCAGACACUGAUGCAGACACUAAUUCAGAGACUAACGCAGAUUCUAUAUCUGAACUAGAAUUGAAAGUUGUCAAAGCCACAAAAUUCUUCAGAUCUUCUUCUUCUUCAUCUGAAUCAGUUUCAGAAUCACUAGUGACAACAUUCAUGGCCUUCUUCUUAUGCUUUUGUAGAUUGGCGCAUUCCGAACGAACAUGUCCAUAUCCUUUGCAUUCAAAACAUUGCACAUUCUUUGAUGAACUUCUCAACUCUUCAUCAAUUCUAUCCUUCCUCUCUUUUCCUUUUCGUUUCAGAUAUUUAGUAAACUGUCUUGACAACAUAGCCAUUGAAUCUUCAGUUGAUGAUCCUUUAAGAGCAACUCCAAUGUCAACUUCCUUCUUCACUUCAUCUACCUUCUUCAUCUUUCCUUUAGCUUCAUAUGCUUUGCUUAACUCAAAAGCUUGAAGAAUCCCAACAAACUCAUCAAAAGCCAUCUCAUCUAGAUUAUGAGCUUCUUCAACUGCAGAAAUCUUUGACUCAAAUUCUUCACUAGCUUUUUGUCCUUGUAGACCUUUCCAAGAGCAAACGAUUCAUUAGAUAUGUCACAUAACUUUGCACUAAAAUCAGCCACAGUUUCCUCUUCUUCCAUCCUUAGAUUCUCAAAUUGCGAAGCCAACAUAUCCAAUUUCGUUCUCUUAACGCUUGUAGUACCUUCAAACAUAUUCUCCAAUGUCUUCCAUGCUUUUUGAGCUGAUGCACAUUGAGAAAUCAACUUAAAGCGGCUUGAAUCAAUAGCAUUGUAAAUCGCAGUCUUAGCCUUAGAAUUGCAACUUGAUAGCUUUUUCUCUGCAGCAGUCCACUUAUCUCUUGGCUUGAGACUUACAACUCCAUCAUCAUCCGUAACUUUAGGAGCCUCCCAACCAAGUUCAAUUGAAUUCCAACAAUCUUCAUCAAGAUUACUAAUAAAAGCUUGCAUACGAACCUUCCAAUAUCCAUAAUUCGCUGAAUCAAGAAGUGGUGGUCUUGUCAUAGACGUACCUUCCUUGUAUGACUCCAUCUCACACGAUUCACAGCUCUGUCUUACUUUCUGAACGAUCUCCUGAACAAUCUUCUGAACAAUCUCCUGAACCUCACCCUGAUCUACCCGAAACAAGACUAAAUCUCUAUCGAGAACCCUCUCUGAUACCAAUUGUAAGUGCGGAUGAGGUAAGAUAAAUUGUAGAAAGUAAACGAGACAAGAAAUUUGUUAACGAGGUUCGGUUUUUCCUACUCCCCGGGACCACGUCCAGAUUUCGAUUCCACUAGAACAAGAAAGCAAAUUACAAACAAUUCGCAAACGCAUAAAACAAGCCCAACCCUCUUGAUUUACCGCUCCCUUCUAUAACGUGAAACCUUAAGGAUAAUCUCUACCCUUAACUAAACUCCCCUUGAGUCUAGAUUUAAUCAGGAUAACCUAACCCUGAGCUAAACUCCCCUUGAGCCUAGACUUCAAAACAAAACCACUUGAUCACACAAGCACAAAACCCGCAAAACUAAGUUGCACAAAACCGCGAAACUAUGUCGCACACACCCUCUGAAAGCUCUCAAUGAUUUGCCUCUAUGCCUCAGCUCUCUUACUUCUCCAAGACGUCCUCCACUCCUCCUUAUAUAGCCAAAACGAUUUCCUAAUCACCAUAGGAGAAGAUUUCCAAUUUCCAUAAGAAAAAGUAAAUUUCCUUUUAUACUUUUCCUUUUUCUCACCAAACUCCACUUUCAUCAAGUCUUCCAAAUCUCUUUAAGUUCCUUUGUGAUUCAUCCUCUAAACACACUCCAAACAUAUCUUCUCAAACCUUCUAGAAACCGACACUAACACAAAAACAGUCGCAUCUUGACUUACUUCUUGAAUCAUUCAGCAACUCCAUCAGAUAAACUCUUGUAUUACUUCUUGACUCAUUCAACAACUUAAUCAGACUGCAGCUACAUCUUCAUUACGGGGGUCAAAAUUUUUCCACUCCAACUAAUCUUUCUUUUUUAGCUUUAUCUCAAAAUAUGCUCAGAACUUCUUUCACGGCGAACUCCUCUUCUGACCAUUUCUUGCGUAAUCUCGCAUACAAUGUCUUGGCAAGUUCUUCUCUGGUUGAUUUUCUUUUUUGCAUGAUCAUUAAUUAAGUCUCUAUCACUCAGGAUUUUUCAUGACUAUUGUAUUCAGGGUACAACAUCAAAAUCAGACUACACCAACUUCCAUGAUCCAGGAAUUCACUCAGAUCUUCCCAUCUUAAACAUCCAACCUCAGUGCACUCCAGCCACUACGUUCAAAUUCUCAUUCCGACAAUCACCUCUCAAGUUUCAUAAAGGUACAAUUAUGUUUACGUGUUGUCGUCACAACGAUUUUAAGAAAUUUUUAAAAGGUUACAAUGUGUUUUGUAAUUAUGUUUACAGCAUAUAACAUUAAACAGUCUAGUAGAACUAAUAUUGUUCUGUGUAAGUUUAAAUGUAAUCUGACUGCAUUCCAAGUCCCAAGUUAAUUUGUUAAAGAGAACAUUUUUUGUGCCUCACUCAAAGCUAACUUCUCAAAAAACAUUCUUGCAACUGAUUAACAUUUUCUUGCAAAUGAUUAACGUGUCAAAUCAGAGGUGAGAUGCGUUCAAGGAUUGAAUCUCUGGAGAAAUAACUCCGUAGAGGUCAACGAUGAGAUCUUCAAGGGUUAUCGUCAAGGAAAUCCUGAAAAGAUCAUCAAUGAGGUUGCUGCAGGUUAUUCCACUUCUCUUAUCAUUUUUCUAUGUUUAUAUUACAUAGGCAAUUUCUGACUCUUUCUCUGUUUUUUAGCAUAUGAUUUCUUGGACACCGAUACGAAUAACUUCAAUGUGACCAUCUGGUUUAACUCUACAUACAAGGAUGAUUACCGAGUACAACAGAGGCGUGUAAAGUAUGUCCGAGUUCCUCGCUCAGUAAAUUUGGUAAGAACUAUGACUACUUUUUUAGCUAGGAGGCUAGGAUAUAUCAUUUGAUCAAACACAUUCUUACUCUACAAAAACAAAAUGCAGGUUUCGAAUGCUUAUCUUCAAUUUUUGCGAGGCCCAGGGACUAAAAUGUUAUUCGAUUUUGUGAAAGAAACGCCUAAACAAGAAACUAAGCUUCACGUUGACGUAGCUUCUGUCAUUGGCCCCAUGUUCUUAACAUGGGUUAUUGUUCUUUUGUUCCCCGUAAGCAUGUUUUCAAUAGACAGAUUCAGUCUUGGAAGCAAUAAUCCUAUCAUUGGAUUUCAAUAGUUUGAGGCAUUUUCUAUUCAGGUGAUCUUAAACUCAUUGGUGUAUGAGAAGCAGCAACAUCUAAGAAUUAUAAUGAAAAUGCAUGGCCUAGGAGAUGGUCCUUAUUGGAUGAUUUCCUACGCCUAUUUUCUAGCCAUAUCCACGUUAUAUAUUAUAUGCUUGAUGAUAUUUGGGUCAGCAAUAGGUAUUGUCUCGUUGCCAUAUUUUCUUCUAUAUAUAGAACAUGUUUCAGAGCUAUAGUGCCUUGCAGGACUGAAGUUUUUCCGGUAUAAUGACUACGGUAUCCAGUUCGUUUUCUAUUUUCUCUGCAUAAAUCUGCAAAUCUCCGUAGCUUUUCUAGUUUCCUCAGCAUUUUCAAAGGUUGAGACAGCUACAGGUACUAACUUAAGCCACACGUUAACUAAAUGUGCUCAAGAACAUGAUGAUGUUAAUUAAAAGGAACACUCUUUGUUUUAUGGCUCAAUUGUAGUUGUUGCUUACCUAUACGUGUUUGGAUCUGGGCUCUUGGGCGGGUUCCUCUUCCAGUUUAUGUUGGAAGGUUUAUCGUUUCCCAGUAAGCUAUAUAUCAAAAACAAAUUGGAGAAGACCUAUUCUCAAAUACUGACCAGUGACUACAAUACUAAUAUAAUGUUUACUUUUUCCCCAGGAAGCUGGAUUUUUUUCAUGGAGUUGUUUCCGGGCUUCUCUUUAUACCGUGGUUUGUAUGAGUUCUCUCAGUAUGCUUUAAUCAGAAACGUGAAUGGGAGCGAUGGGAUGAAGUGGAAAGAUUUCAAUGAUAGUGCAAUGGAUGAAGUUUUCUACAUUAUUAUUGUCGAGUGGUUUCUCGCACUCAUUGCAGCAUACUAUAUGGACCGAGUUUCUUCAUCCGCGAAAGACCCUUUUUUAUGCUUGAAAUACACUUUCAAGAAAUCUCCGUCUAAACAUAGCUUGCAGAGACAGGGAUCUGCUCUUUCCGUUGAAAUGGACAGACUAGAUGUCGCUCAGGAGGUAUAACAACAAUGAUUAACAAUAUAUUACAUGUUCUUUGCUUUUUGUUUUUCUAGUUGUUUUGAUGAAAUUUGUUUUUGUCCUAAUCAGAGAGAAAGGGUCAAGCAGCUGAUGCUUGAGUCGAGCACAAGCCAUGCGAUUGUAUGUGACAACCUGAAUAAGGUGUAUCCAGGUAGGGAUGGGAACCCGCCUAAAAUGGCCGUUCAAGGGUUAUCUCUCGCUGUGCCUUCAGGAGAAUGCUUCGGCAUGUUAGGACCAAACGGUGCAGGGAAGACAUCCUUCAUCAAUAUGGUUGGUACACAAAUGGAUAGAAAAUCUUACGUGCUUAUGUUUUAACUGAAAACUCUCCGGUAAUGCAAGUUGUGUUGUAUAUUUUAUGUGGGGAAUUAUAGUGUUGAAAAUUUAUAGGUUCCCGACUUCAAAACAAUUGACAAUGAGUGGAGAUGCUUAUUAUAUCCUUAAAUACUCUUAUGUAAUAUUAUAUUUUUUUGGGCAGAUGACUGGGCUUGUGAAACCAACAUCUGGAAUAGCUCUUGUUCAAAGUUUGGACACAUGUAAGGAUAUAGACAGAGUAUACACCAGCAUGGGUGUUUGCCCACAACAUGAGUAAGUAAUUGUAUUCUUGGAAAACAGAUUAUUUUGUUUUAAUUGUCAUCGUUUUCUUGUUCUCUAUUAUGUAGCUUGCUCUGGGAAACGCUGACAGGAAGGGAACAUCUACUCUUUUACGGAAGACUUAAGAAUCUCAAAGGCUCUGAUCUCCACCAAGUUAGUUAUCAAUCUUACUUAUCUAAUAUAUUACUCCAAAAGUAUCAAAACUAAUUUAUAGGUUUAGGCUGUAGAGGAGUCUCUUAAGAGUGUGAACCUAUUUCGUGAUGGAGUUGCUGAUAAACCUUCUGGGAAAUAUAGUGGAGGCAUGAAAAGGCGAUUAAGCGUAGCAUUUCACUUAUCGGGAGUCCUACGGUACACCAAUGUCUCUUACUAAUCUACUGGAAAAAACUUAUAGAGAAACCUUAUUUCAUAUGAUUUUAGAGAGCUUUACCAAGCCCAUUUUUACAUUUGGUUUAUUUUUUUAAAAGGUGGUUUAUAUGGAUGAGCCAAGCACAGGACUAGAUCCAGCUUCAAGAAGGAGCCUAUGGACAGCCAUCAAAUCCGCAAAAAAAAACACUGCGAUAAUCCUCACUACUCAUUCAAUGGAAGAAGCAGAGUUUCUUUGUGACCGAUUGGGAAUUUUUGUAGACGGAAUGUUACAAUGCAUAGGGAACCCAAAAUAGUUAAAGGGAAGGUAUGGUGGAUCUUAUGUGUUAACAAUGACAACAUCAUCAGAACAUGAAAAAGAUGUGGAGAUGUUGGUUCAAGAUGUUUCUCCAAACGCCAAGAAGAUAUAUCACAUCGCAGGGACACAAAAAUUUGAGAUCCCAAAAGAAGAAGUACGGGUCUCGGAAGUGUUUCAGGCGGUAGAGAAGGCGAAAAGCAAUUUUAGGGUGUUUGCUUGGGGACUUGCAGACACAACUCUUGAAGAUGUUUUCAUUAAGGUUGCUAGAACUUCUCCGGCCUCUAAUGUCUUCUCUUGAAUCUUCUUUAGAUUAUCAUAUUUGUCUGUUCAACGUCAAUAUUUGUUAUUUCAUGCAUGUUUAAUAGUAUUGGUCAUGCGUAGAUUUGAUUUGUAUAUUGUACAUUAUUGGAAUCGGCUACGAGUUUGUGACUUGCGUCGGAGGGUUUUACCACUUGUUUGUUUGUGAAUGAUUUAUGUAAAACAAGGCUAGAUAAAUUUGUGAAUGAUGAUGUUGAUACAUUAUAAAGGAGAUGAUGCCCAUGAAUAAAAAUAAAGAAAUUGUUUUUCUUCGUUUAACAUUGUUUUUAUAAAAAAAAAACCAGGAUGAUAUGGGCUUUUAUCACCAAGUAAUCCCUUCAGGGUGAGUGUAGCUGUUGAACAAGACAUCAUUUUAACUGGAAAAAUAGAGUGAUUUAGUAGAUUUCGCGUUUGAAAGGAAUCGAUCUCUGACCUAGAUAUGAAGAUAUCUACAAGGCAACUCCUCCUCUUUCCACUUGACCACUAUCACUUGUUUUUUUUUUUUUUAACAUUGUUAGUGCAUGCCAACAAAAUUUCACAGUUUUGGUAUUAAAACGGAAUUCUGCAAUUUCGAUGCUGAAAAAAGUAUUACAGAUUGAUGGUAAAACGUGAGCCCGCAGUUACGGCGAAAACUCGUGAUUUGUUUAUUUUGACGUAUAAUAAUGAAUUUACAUAAAAUAUGAUGUGGCUUAAGCAAAGACAAGAUAUAACUAUUUCUCAGUCACACCAAUAUUUUACUUUUAAGUUUUAACACUUAACGUUAGAGAUCGACGUGGUUCUAACAAUAAGUCAAUGAAAUUACCCGACAAUAUUUUAUAGAUUCGUGAGAUAUUUAUAGUUUUACCCUACUUGACCAUGUUUUCCCAUAAAUCUUGCUAAACUUUUUAAAUUCUUCUUUGUAAAAUGGUAAGGUAGGCAAAAGUUCAGGAUCUAUUAUCAGUUUCAAAAAAUUUACUAAAGCUAAAAGGCCCAAUUUUUCCAAAAAAAUUGUUUAAUAAGAGAUUUUAUUUUAUUUUGAGUUUUGCCAUGGACCCCAUAAUGAAUCGAGACAGGACCGGCCUCAACCACCAUAUUAUAGAAUUCUAUUGCAAAGAUCACUCCUUUUAUUGGCAACUUGCUGCAACUUAUUGAAGUUCUUCGUUUGUUGACAUUAUAAGUAACACAAAAUAGUUAAUGCCGUAAUGGCCUCAACCACAUAUAAAUUAGCCAGUGGAAAUUAAAGUCUGUCACAUGCAUGAAUCUUACUGUGAAUUCAUCAGGACUCAAUGUCACUAAAUCUACAACAAAAGGAAAGAUAAAACAGAAGAAAAAAACAAAAUCAAGAUUGAAGAAGCUUAUCAUCAAUGGCAAACCAUAUUACCGCAAGUUUCUUUGCCCGGGUCAAUGCCUUGUUCAGAAGAAACUUAACCUACUAGUUUCUUAAUUUAGUCUCGUAAGAUAUACACAUAUCAUCACGUUACGUGAUACGUACCAUACAACGUUUCCGCAAAAUCUUAUAGUAAUUAACAUUAUAACUUAUCAAUAACUCACUCUCCACACAUGCUGGUUGAAAGAUUUUCUUGGUCGUCGUGGGAUUACUCCUUUCUUUGGCAACUUCUUGCAUAUUAUAAUUGAAGUUCUUCUUUCGUUGAAAUGACUAAUUAUUAAGAUAAAUACCAAUUUAUAAUUCGCAAGUGGAAAUCAAAAGGUGUCAUAUAGAUCGAAUUGUGAACUCAUAGAGUCAAAUCAGGACUCAUCUAUGGCGAAACCUGCUGCCGCCAGUUUCUUGACGCAAGCCAACGCCUUGUUCAAGAAAAACUUAACUUAUCAGGUACUUGGCCAUACAAUUCAUGCGUUAUCUAUAUAUACAUAUAGAAAAAUGUAAUUAUAUCUUGUUACCAUAUAUUGUUGUAGAAACGGAACAUAUGGAGCAACGUUAGGCUGAUCGUGAUCCCUUUGUACCUUUGUGUGGUUCUAGUGUGCAUUCAAGCUGUGUUCGAUUCACUGGUUAAUAACUCUGUUGAUAAUCAAUGUGGUUGUCGAUGCAUCGACGACUCCGACAAAAAUGGAGAUGGCAAAUGCGAAAAAAAAAAGUUGUGGUUUACAAUAUUCAUCACAAAACCAAGCUGUCUUCUGUGCCUUCCCUAACCCUCCACCAUUGCUUCCUUUGUUACAUAUUCCUCGUUCUUUUAAUCAUACCCGUCGUGACUCGUGCAAACGAACCGGAUCUUGUCCUGUAACCAUACUUGUUACUGGGAAUAACCAAUCCCUUGGAACAAGUAUACAUACUCUCCCUCUUUUAAUGUUUUUUUUUUUCUAUCACAAUAAAUGUUUUUUCCUUUCCAACUAAUCUUCACUAUUGUUUUAGCUUUAUCUGAGAAUCUUCUAAGUACUUCUUCCACGGUCAACUCCUCUUCUGACCAUUUCUUGCGUAAUCUCUCGUAUAAUGUCUUGGUAAGUCCUUCUCUGUUUGAAUUCUUAUUGGUUACCAUUAUUAUCAAGUCUCUCUAUCUCUCGGUGCUUUUUCAUGAAUUAGUAUAUUUAUAUAUACAGGGCACAACAUCAGAGACAGACUACACCAACUAUCGUGAUCCAGGGAUUUACUCAGAUCUUCCCAUUUUCAAUAUCCAACCUCAGUGCACCCCAGCCACUACAUUUUCAUUCUCAUUCCGACAACCACCUCUCGAGUUUCAUAAAGGUAUUCACGUCACAAAAUUAUGUGUGAAACCCUAAUCUGAAAACUGAACACUAAACCCAAAAUGGUGUAUAUAUGAACCCAACAAAAAAAAAAACUCUAAAUAUUCUAAAUUCAAACCGUAAUAAAUCAAUAUGUUUUAAUGGAAUCUGCAUUCCAUGUUCCAAGUUAUUUUGUAAGAGAUAACAUUCUUUCAUUGCGGCCUAUUGGCUUAAUGGUUAAUGUGUCAAAGCAGAGGUGAGAUGCGUUCAAGGAUUGAGUCUCUGGAGAAAUAACUCCGUAGAGGUCAAUGAUGAGAUCUUUAAGGGCUAUCGUAAAGAAAAUCAUGCAGAGAUCAUCAAUGAGGUCGCUGCAGGUUAUACCACUUCUCUUAUCAUUUACCUCUCUAUUUUACAAUUAACUUCUGACUCUUUCUCUGGUUUUAUUAGCAUACGAUCUCUUGGACACGGAUAGGAACAACUUCAAUGUGAACAUCUGGUAUUACACGACAUACAAGGGAGAUUUUCAAGAUUGGCGUGUGAAGUAUGUCCGAGUUCCUCGCUCAGUCAAUUUGGUAAGAAACUACGUUCGUGUUGUAUGUUAGGAUUCUACAUAGAAAUUGUGGAGGAACCAACACUAAGAUAAAUAGCAUUGGUCACUCUAUAUGUAGGACUGAUCUUUUGAUCAAACUCAUUCUUAGACUCGGCAAAACAUUGCAGGUUUCGAAUGCUUACCUUCAGUUUUUGCAAGGCCCAGGGACAAAGAUGUUAUUCGAUUUUGUUAAAGAAAUGCCUAAACAAGAAACUAGGCUUCGCAUGGACAUGGCGUCUCUCAUAGGCCCCAUUUUCUUCACAUGGGUUAUUCUUCUUUUGUUCCCUGUAAGCUCUUUUUAUGUGGACUACUUCAUACUCUUACAAGUAUAUGAUGAUCCUAUCAUGGGAAUUUUUUCAUGGGAAAUAAUUUAACCUGGUCUGGUUUGCGAAUCGAAGAGAUUAUGAGCCUAGGCCCAUAAUUGUUUGGUUAAUAGGCUUUUUCAAUAGUUAUAAGCAUUUUCUAUGCAGGUGAUCUUGACCUCAUUGGUGUAUGAGAAGCAGCAACGUCUAAGAAUUAUAAUGAAAAUGCAUGGCCUAGGAGAUGGUCCAUAUUGGAUGAUAACCUACGCCUAUUUUCUCGCCAUAUCCACGUUAUACAUUAUAUGUUUGAUGAUAUUUGGGUCAGCAAUAGGUAAUGUAGAGUUGACUUAUCUUAUGUUAAUAUUUUCUUAUGUAUACAUAAAUCAAGUUUCAAAGCUAUAGUUUGUUACAGGACUGAAGUUCUUCCGGUCCAAUGACUACAGCAUCCAGUUCAUUUUCUAUUUUCUUUAUAUAAAUCUGCAAAUCUCCAUAGCCUUUUUAGUUUCCUCAGCAUUUUCAAAGGCUGUGACAGCAUCAGGUACUAACUGAAGUCACAUUUUUUUUCAAAUUUGGUCGGGAACAUGCGGUGUUAAGGAGAAACACUUUCUGUUUUAUGCCCAAAUUGUAGUUGCUGCUUACAUGUACGUGUUUGGAUCUGGGCUAUUGGGCGGGUUCCUCUUCCAGUUUCUGAUGGAAAGUUUAUCGUUUCCUAGUAAGCUAUCAAGAACAACAUGAAAAAGACAUUCUCAAAACUGACCACAAUGGCACUAUAUAAUCUUUUAUUUUUUACCAGGACGCUGGAUAUUUGUCAUGGAAUUUUAUCCCGGCUUCUCAUUAUACCGCGGGUUGUAUGAAUUCUCCCAAUAUGCUUUCCAAAGAAACUUGAAUGGGAGGGAUGGGAUGAAGUGGAAAGAUUUCAGAGGUAGUGCAAUGGAUGAAGUUUUCUCUAUCAUUAUCGUUGAGUGGUUUCUCGCACUCAUUGCAACAUACUGCAUGGACCGAGUUUCGUCAUCAGCGAAAGACCCUUUUGCAUUCUUGAAAAACCCUCUCAAGAAAUCUUCUUCUCCACAAAGGCCUAGCUUGCAAAAAGAGGAAUCUUCCGUUUCCGUAGAAUUGGAGAAACUGGAUGUCAUUCAGGAGGUAUUGCAAAAGAAUUUACAACCCAUUCCAUGUUCUUUACGUUUUUCGAACUGUUUUGGUGAAAUAAAUUUGUUCAAAUCAGAAAGAAAAGGUCCAGCAGUUGAUGCUUGAGCCGAGCACAAGCCAUGCGAUUGUAUGUGACAACCUGAAGAAGGUGUAUCAAGGCAGGGAUGGGAAUCCGCCUAAAUUGGCAGUUUGUGGCUUAUCUCUCACUGUGCCGUCAGGAGAAUGUUUCGGCAUGUUAGGGCCCAAUGGUGCCGGAAAGACCUCGUUCAUCAAUAUGGUUAGUACCCAAAGGGACAGAUACAAAUCUUGUGUGCUUAGCAUACUCCUUACUAACAAAGUGUUAAAUUUUAUAUAUAUAUAUAUAUAUAUAUAUAUAUAUAUAUAUAUAUAUAUUUUGGCUAGAUGACUGGACUUGUGAAACCAACAUCAGGAUCAGCUUUUGUUCAAGGUUUAAACAUAUGCAAGGAUAUGGACAAAGUAUACACCAGUAUGGGUGUUUGCCCACAACACGAGUAAUAAAUUAAAUUCUCGAUAAUAUUUUUUUCUAGUUGAAGAUCAUUAUCAAGUUUUAUGAGCUUCCCAACUCAAAAAAUCAGUUUGUAAUCAUAUAGUUGUUUUAUUGUUUCUUAUUGUUUGUCAUUUAUCAGCUUGCUCUGGGAAACAUUGACAGGGAAAGAACAUCUUUUCUUUUAUGGAAGACUUAAGAAUCUCAAAGGCCCUGAUCUCGACCAAGUAUGUUAUCAAUCUUACUUCUAUCCCAUAUUAGCGCAAGAUUAUUAAAACGUCAAAUUAUGGUUUAUUAUUAGGCUGUAGAAGAAUCACUUAAGAGUGUGAACCUAGUUCGCGGAGGAGUUGCUGAUACACCUGCUGGGAAAUACAGCGGAGGAAUGAAAAGGCGGCUAAGCGUAGCCAUUUCACUUAUCGGGAGUCCUAAGGUACACCAAUGUCUCUUACUCCUCUCCUACCUAAAAACUGAUUGAUAAGCCCUUGUUUGCAUGUGAUUUAGAGAGCUAUAGUUUUUCAAGCUUUAACAAAUCAUUUUUCCAUUUGGUUAUUAAAUAAAAGGUUGUUUAUAUGGAUGAGCCAAGCACAGGACUUGAUCCGGCUUCAAGAAUAAACUUAUGGACAGUCAUCAAACGCGCAAAAGAACACACAGCUAUAAUCCUUACAACUCAUUCAAUGGAAGAAGCAGAGUUUCUUUGUGACCGAUUGGGGAUUUUUGUUGAUGGAAAGUUACAAUGCAUAGGGAAUCCAAAAGAGCUGAAGAAAAGGUAUGGUGGAUCCUAUGUAUUAACAAUGACAACAUUACCAGAACAUGAAAAAGAUGUUGAGACGUUGGUUCAAGAUGUUUCCCCAAAUGCAAAGAAGAUAUAUCACAUCGCUGGGACUCAGAAGUUUGAGUUCCCAAAGGAGGAGGUUCGCAUCUCGGAAGUGUUUCAGGUGGUGGAGAAGGCCAAGAGCACUUUCAGGGUGUUUGCGUGGGGACUUGUGGACACAACUCUUGAAGAUGUUUUCAUCAAGGUUGCUAAAACCAGUCAGGCCUUUAAUGUCUUCUCUUGAAUAUUCGUAAGAUUAUUAUUUAUGUAUGUUCAUGGUUAAUAAAAUUGAUAAUGUAGAGGUUUGUAUCAUGUACAUUGUUGGAUGUUGGCUGCAAGUUUGUGAAUUUCUUCGAGGUCUUUUUGUAACUUGUUUGUUUGUGGAUGAUUUAUGUAAUGCAAAAUAAUUAUGUAAACCGUGGCUAUAUAUAAUUGUGGAAGUUCCACUGCCGCAUAUGAAAUUAAGUUUCAUAUACCAUUUAGAUCCUAAAUGUAUAUAUUUCUAAGGUUUACGAAUUAAAAUUUUUAAUUUCUAAAACAAUUUUUCUAUACAAAUAAAAGUAAUUAGGUUUUAGCGGUUAAAUUUUACCUUAGUCUUUAAAGUGUGUUUGGUUAUUAAUUAUUUGAUCUGAGAAAAAUUGAGGAUGGGAAAAAUUAUAAUUUGAGGGAACCCAUAGGCCAUGAUUAAGGAUGGAUGACUUUUUUUUUUUUUUUUGAAUGAAUGUAAAAUUUAUUUAUCAAAAAAGUCGGUGUUAUAUCAAAUACUUCAGUUUCGAGUGUAAAAAACUUUCUUAUAUAUAUUACAAGGAUGGAUGCCUUAAUUUCAUCUGAAGGAGCUUAAACACAAGAUAGAUUUAGCAUCUUGGUGGCUCAUGAGCUUCUCACAUUUUGACAGGUAACACAAAAUUUAGGUUUAGGAAGAAAUUCACAAACAAACAAGUUAACUUUUAACCUGAUUUUUUUGUAAAAGAAAAAACAUUAUCAUGAACAAAUUCAAACCGAAACCAAAUCAAAGUAAAUUUAUUUUCUUUGUAAAAUAAGAGUUGAAAAAAAUGCUACUAAUUAAGACUUUUAUGAUUUUUUUAAAAAAAUUUGUGCAAAGACUUUUUAUGUUUUAAAACUGAAAUAAGACUGCUGUUAAAAACAAUAAACUGAGAUAAGACUUUUCUUCUGACAUCAUAACAUAUUUUCUCCUUUAUAUGGGAUCAUACAUUGCUUCUUGUCCAAGUAACUUAACUGCCACAUUGGAAAAUGUUUGAAUUUUGAACAAAUCUUUUUUAAUUAUUUAAAAUGGUCAAAAAUAUCAUAGUCAACCAAAUUUACUGGAUAGUUUUACGUGAGACAUUAGAAUAGAAUAGUUUAAUGAAUUACGUUCACACGUGAUUACGUCUGAAAUGACGUAUUAAUCAUCAACUAUGCCAAAUUAAAAACUUUAUAUCAAAUAUAAACAAAUAAUUGAAACUCACCUCUUCCAUUAGUUGAAGAAUCUAUUGGGUCGUGGGAUCACUCUCCUCCGCAGCUUCCUACCAAAUUUACAUUUCAAUCUUUCUUUAAUUGUCACUUUCUUGAUUUCGUUGAAUUUACCUUUUUGUUGUUUGACCAAAAGAAUAAUCCCAAAAACUUUAAUACUAAUAUAUCAACUGAUAAAGACGUACUUAACGAAAAUAAUAAAGCGUGUGCAUAAGGGUAUUAUCGUAAUUUCACAUUCCGUAUCUGAUCUCUGUUCUUCUUUCCUCCGCCUGCUACUAUAUGAACCCAAAAGGCGGUGAUUGGAUUUGGUUCGUUCUAAGUUCAAAAUUAGGAUUCAAUUUUUACUAACCCAAAAGAAAACAGAAACCUAAAAUAAUUUAAUUUAGCGUUAAUAUUCAAAUAGAAGACACAGAGAAAAGAGCGAAGAUUACCAAAAUCGUCAUCAAUGGCGGAUCCUGGUCCUGCCAGUUUCUCAACGAGAGCCAAUGCCUUGCUUAGGAAAAACUUAACCUAUCAGGUACUUUUUGCGUUUUCUUUUCCUCCACGCAAUCCAAUUAUAUACAUACAAGUUUUCGGAUUUUCGAUUUUGCUACUCGCGAAAACUUGAUGGAUCAGUUUCUACAAUAACAUUAGUGGCUAAUCUAUUGAUUAUCCGACGUAAUCACAGAUAAUUUGAUAUAAUUUGGUAAUCAGAUAAACUUAUCUCAAAGUUCAAUUGAUUAUCGAAUUUAGUUACAGAUAUUUUGCUAGGAUGAUUAUGUUGUUGUUCUAAUUCGUCAUUUGUGUAAAUUAUGUGUUGGUGUAGAAACGGAAUCUAUGGAGCAAUAUUCGGCUUAUCAUGAUCCCUUUCUACCUCUGUAUACUUCUAGUGAUUAUACAAGUCCUGUUCGAUACAAAUAUUAAUAACUCUGCUGAUAAUCGCUGUGGUUGUCGAUGCAUCGUCAGAAAUAGAAAUGGAAAAUGCCAAAGAGAGAUUUGCGGUUUAGAACAUUCUAAACCGGAUCAAGCUUUCUUUUGUUCCAUCCCUAGUCCUCCACUAUGGCCUCCAUUGUUACAAAUCCCGCGCCCUGAGAGUCGCGCUGUUAGUGAUCCUGCUGAUGAUGGUAGUGGUCUUCCUAAUGACUCUUGUAGACGAACAGGAUCUUGUCCUGUUACUAUACUGUUUACUGGAAAUAACCGUUCCCUUGGAACAAGUACGUCUCUUCUCUACAUUUUUUCUUCUCUUCUUUCAGUAUAUUCAGUAUUUGUAUUCACUGUAACACUUAUCUUCAUGUUUUCUCUAGCUGUAUCUGGGAAUCUGCUCACUAGUUCCUUAUCUGCGAACUCCUCUGACAUCUUGCUUACUUUAGCUAAUAAUGUUUUGGUAAGUUCUUUGGUUGGAUUCUGUCUGUUUCCAUUAUGAAGUGUGUGUGAUUAUGUUUCUUAGCUUUCUUGACCUCAUGUUUCAGGGUACAUCAGUUGAGGCAGAUUUCACCAAUUAUCUUGAUCCUGGGAUUGCCUCAAACCUUUCCAUCUACAAUAUCCAACCUCGGUGCAUUUCUAAUGCUACGUUCCCAUUCUCAUUCGAACAACCACCUCUCAAGUUUGAAAAAGGUAUUCAGUUUUCAAUCCCAUAGAUGUUUAAUUAAAAAUGUUUUAGAAGGAUAAUGAAUGUGAGAUAGGUAAUUUAGUUGCGUUCUUCUGUAUGCAUAUCGCAAGUUUGUUAAACAUGAUAUCUCUUUCUUCCAUAUAUUGCCCUCACUCAAAGUUAUCUUUUCUUGCUGUCGAAUGACUUAAUGUUUGUGUCAAAACCAGAGUUGAGAUGUGUUGAAGGAUUCAAUAUCUGGAAAAAUACCUCCAUAGAGGUCAAUGAUUUGAUUUUCAAGGGUUAUCGGAAAGGAAACCCUGAGGGGAAGAUAAAUGAGAUCUCUGCAGGUUCGUCAACUUCUCAGUCGGUUUAUCUAUAACAGUGCUUAAUAUGCACAUGAGAUUUCUGACUCUUCCUGUCUGAUUUUUUUUUGUUGCCUUAGCAUAUGAUCUCUUGAACACUGAUAGGAACAAUUUCAAUGUCCACAUCUGGUAUAAUUCAACAUACAAGGACGAUUCAGGAAAUAGACUUACAAAGUUGGUCCGUGUUCCCCGCUCAGUCAAUUUGGUAAGAAAACAACAUUGUACUCAACAUAUCCUCAUCAUUGUAUUAACGCUUUGCUCUUUACCAUCUAGCACCAUUUUCUUGAUUGAACUGAUGCUUACUCUUUGCCAAACUGCAGGUGUCAAAUGCUUACCUUCAAUUUUUACAAGGCCCGGGGACAAGGAUGUUGUUCGAAUAUGCCAAAGAAAUGCCUAAACCAGAAACAAGUCUUCGUCUGGACAUCGCGUCUCUAAUUGGCCCCCUUUUCUUUACAUGGGUUAUUCUUCUUCUGUUCCCUGUAAGUUUGCCUUCAAUAAUAUUCACCCUGAUGUAUAGUAAUCUAUAAAUCUUGGAAACAACAAGAAUUCUGCUUUCUCCCAGCGUAAGAUACGAAAUUCAUAUCUAGAGCCAUUUGUAUGCAGGUGAUAUUGUCGUCAUUAGUGUAUGAGAAACAGCAACAUCUAAGAAUUAUAAUGAAAAUGCAUGGCCUAGGAGAUGGUCCUUAUUGGAUGAUUUCCUAUGCCUAUUUCCUUACCAUAUCCGUGUUAUAUGUUAUAUGCCUGAUGAUAUUCGGGUCAGCAAUAGGUAACUGAAGCCUCUCUGUCUUUAUAUAUUUCUUACAUUAGAUUUUCUAUACAGAUUUUUUUUCCAAUAUGGGUCUUUAUAGUUGCUGGUUCCAUGCAGGACUGAAGUUCUUUCGGCUUAAUGCCUACAGCAUCCAAUUCGUAUUCUAUUUUCUCUAUGUGAAUCUGCAAAUCGCCCUUGCCUUUCUAGUUUCUUCAGUAUUUUCAAAUGUCAAGACAUCAACAGGUACUAACAACAUCGUGCUUCUUGAAUUUGAUCAAGAACAUGUCGGGGUUUAAAGGAACUAAUGAGCUUUUCUCAUAUAUCUUAAUCAUAGUUGCUGCUUACAUAUACGUGUUUGGAUCUGGACUUUUGGGCUUGUUUCUACUCAACUUUCU